GUUACAGCUUCGGCACUGACCAGGAGACUGUAAGUACUGGCCAUGGAUGCAGAAGAAGAAAGGCUAAGUAAAACCCACAUCCAUGGCCAAUUGGUAGAGAUAAACCACAAUCAGGAGAAACGAAUACGCCACGAAGAAACAAAGGCGCAGAAUCUGACAACUGGGUUUGCGGUCGUCCAAGCUUUAAUUCUCAACACAGGGGUGAUCAAUAAGCCAUCCAACAGAUGCGAACACUGGUGGGUGCCAUUCUCUCUCUCCUUAUCCGUCGGUGUGAUUUAUUUCAUCACCAUUUUUGAGGUGUUGAGGAAAUGGUACCUUCUGCUCUACCAUUUGGACGUCAACUACCUGGAGCAAGAACUUAUUCUACUGGAAAUGCAUGGGGGUGCUCCGUCCUGGCGAAAUGAUCAGCCAUUGAAGCCAGAUGUGGUGAAGCUCCUGAGGCGUAAAGCUUAUAUCACGAUACUGAUUUCUGCUAUGCUCGCCUUUCAAGCUCUGAUGCUCCACGCCUGCAGAUCCUUUCUUUGCAGCUGAAAGUAACCAUCUUCCCCUUUAAAUAAAUACUAGAAUAAAAAAAAAAAUUGUUGUUUAUUAUGCCAAAUUUCUCGAUGCCUUUGAAGAGUGUCAUGGGAAAGGCUAUUAAGAUGCAAACUACAUAAUUCAAAAUGCAUUAUAUGCAACGAAAUUAUUUACCAUGAAAUUUAUUUAUAUUGUUUUUCUUUCUAAAGUAUUCAAAAUGCAUGAUAUGCAAUCGAAAAAUUUGAGGGAAAAUAUUACAGAAAGAAAAUAGAGAGAAAAAGUAGAAUAAAAAAAUGAAAAAAAAUAAAAAAUAUAUUUAAAGUCAAUAAAUUAUUUUUAUAUUUUAUUUUAAACUCAUUUUAUUUAUUUUAACUCAUGAUAUAAAAUUAAAUAAUUUUAAAAUAUAUAAAAUUUUAAUUAAUUUUAAUUAUAUUUGAUUUGAGAAACUCAUUUUACUACACAUUUUUUUUUCCCUUUUUCAGUAGUUUUGGCAACCAAACAUUUACCUAAAAUUUUGUUAAUGCAUCUCCCUAGGUGUUUGUGCUCACAUAUUGGGCCCAAGAAUGGGUUCCUGCAACUACCAUCAGUGGGCUGGGCUGCCCAAUCAAUAACAAAAGGGCACUCACCUGGGUCUCAUGGGCCGAAAAAAAUGGAGCCCAUACACAACAGUUUUGAACCCAAACAUAAAUUUCAAGUUCAUAUAUACUUUUAAUCUCGUUUAUUCAUUCAUAUUAGAAAUCUAGAUUUAUAUUAAUUCAUUCAUGUAGAUCUAUAUAUUAGGAAUCAAAUUAGAGUGCAUAGAAACCAAAAUUAAGAGAGAGGAUUAUACCCAAGGAAGUUUUGUGUGAUACGUUGAACCGAAAGUGAUAAAAACUAAGGCUAUGUUUGGUUCCCGGAAAAUUUGAGGGAAAAUGCGAGGGAAAGAAAAUACAAAGGAAAAGUAGAAGGAAAGAAAAAGUGAAGGAAAAUAAAAAAAUAUAUAAAAAUUUGAUAAAUUAUUUUUUUUGUUACUUCAAACUCAUUUUAUUUAUUUUAACUCAUCAAUAUAAAGAUUAAAUAAUUUAAAAAUACAUAAGCUUUUAAUUAGUUUUAAUUAUAUUUGAUUUUCUUUGAUAUUUUUCAUAGGACAACCAAACAUGAGAAAAUCAUUUUCCUUAGCAUUUUUUUUCUUUCCUUUGUACUUUCCGGGAACCAAACAUAGCCUAAGACUAUGUUUAAUUCUCAAAAAGCAAUAAGGAAAGAAAAAAAAUGAAGGAAAAUUAUUUUUUCGUAUUUUAUUUUUCUAUGAAAACCUUGAAAGGAAAUAAAAUAUAAUUAAAAAUUUAUUAUAUAUUUUUAAAUUAUUAAUUUCCAUAUAAAAGAGGAACAAAAUGUCAGAUGAAUUUGAAGUAACAAAUAAAAAUAAUUUAUAAGUUUUAAAUUCAUUUUUUUAUUUUCCUUAAUUCCUUCUUUUACUUUUUCUUUCUAUUUUCUUUCCCUCACAUUUUCUCUUGGAUUUUCUAAGAACCAAACAUAAUAUAAAAAAUAUUUAAUAUAAAAAAACAAAUAAUAUAUAAAAAAACCCAAAUAAUUUGACAUGUGGUAUAUUGUUGCUAGUCAAAGUAAUGGUCGUGGGUGACUUUUAGAAGCCUCCAAUAAGAAAUGGCCAAAAAACCUAUGAGCUCGGCAUUUAUUUGAGUAUCUCGAGGACAAUAUUUUAUUUUUAAUUAUGUGUUUUAAUUCAUUGUUUUUUUUCUUUAAUAUUAUUUUAGAAAUAUGUUUAGAGAUAUGUUAAUUUUAGUGCUUAAAAAGAUUUUGAAAUAUAAAGAUUUUGAUAAUUAAAAAUUCGUUUAAAAAUGAUUUUAGGAAGCAUUUAACCUAUUUAAUCUUUAAAAUUUUUAUAAAAGAGUUGUUUUCAAGUGCUAAAAAAAUUAGAGACAUUUUAUAAAAUUACUAUUAAAUAAAUUCUAAAUAUAAUCGAGUCGUGUGACUAUAAAUUGCUAGACUUUUCCAUGUGAUUAAUCCUUGGAUACUUGGAAUUUGUUUAUGUGGGGUAGAGCUUUUGUGAGUUUGUUUGCAAUUUUCUCAUACUAGAAACAAAUGAAUGGUCAGAGAAAGGAACAUAGAAAAGAGAAGAUUGAAACACCUUCACCUGCUCCGAAGGUUCGUAUGAUCUUCAUGCCAGCCUCCAUGCCUCAUUUUCCCGCUUAUAAAAAAAGGCCACAAAAGACUUGACUGAUCUGAUAAAGCAGGGCCGGAAAAGCGAGCUCGACACGAAGAAACGAAAGCCGGCCAAUGCAGUCCGAGAGAUCACACAGCGAACUGUUCGAGUCUGGGCUUUUGUUUCUUCGUGUCGGUCUUGCUUCUGUCUCCGGCCGGAGGAACAAAAUUGUACAGACAUGGAUGGGAAGAACUCCUGUAAUAUCAAGAGUCCUUCUAUCUUUGGAUUGUUAUAAUAAUAUUAUCUUCAAAACAAAAUUUAUGCAAGUGGGGGUAUAUUUUUUAUUUUUUGUUUUUGAAAAUAGGAAGUUUUAUACAAAAUAUAAAAAAAUCUUAUAUGAAAGAUAGGUAUAAUAUUGUUAUGUUAUUUGAAAACAUUUUUUAAAAUUGACGGAAGUAAAAAAAUUUCAAUUCCAUAAAUUUUUAAAUUUUGAAAAAGUCUUUAAGAAGGGUAGGUAAGAGGAUGCUUGUUAAUGGUUAGAAAAUAGUUUUAUAUGUUUUAGAACAAAAGAAUAAUAAAAAAAAACAUGCUUAAUGAUUAGAAAACAGUUUAUACUCUUAAAAAACAAAAAAUCGGAGUGUUUUUAGAUAAUAUCUUUUAAUUUUUAAAAUUAUUUUUAUUUAUUGAAAAAUAAUCAUACAAAAUGCAGAAUGAUUAUGAGUAAAGUAUUACAUGUGAAACUUAUUUUUAAAAAAUAUUUAAAAACAUAAAAAAAAAGUUAAUAACAGUUCAAGUUUCCAAACAAACUAUUAUUUUACAAAAUAUUAUAUAAGAAUUUUAAAAAAUAGUUUUAAAAAAUACUUUUCGAACACAGUUUAAAUUUUUUUCUUUUUGUAUAAAAAUUCUUAUAUUUUGUAUAAGGGUUUUUAUUUUUAAAAAUAAAAAAAAUAAGAAAUAUAUUCAAAGAUAUUUAAUAAACAAUAAGAAUUCAAAAGAGAAAGCCUUAAAUUUUAUGUUAUUAUUGUAAAAUGAGAAUAAAUGUGACUCAAAUAAUAGUAGGGAUGACUAUGUAUUACUUUAAUAAUAUAUAUAUAUAUAGAGGGGGAGGGGGGAAGAAAUCAAAGAGAAGUGUUGAGAGAAUGAAAGAAAGAGAUAGAGAGAAUGAGAGGAAGAAAAUUUCUUUCUUUUUCUCGGGAUGCUCUUACAUGGGGUAUAAGAAGCCUUUUAUAGGAUUCAUAAUAUGAACUCCCAUUACUCAUCUUAAAGAUGAGUAAAUGGAGUUCAUAAAUGACCAUCAAUGUGGUCAUUUAUCACUUCAUUUACAACAUUCCCCCUUGGAUGACCACCUUAUUAAAAGAAUAUGUCUCAUUAAAACCUUGCUAGUAAAAAAUUUUAUAGGAAAAACCUAGCGAAGGAAAAAGAGUAUAAUAUUCUUUUCUUGGUAUAUUAGGACUGCCUCGUUAAAAACCUUGCCAAUAAAACCCAGUAGGACAAAACCUGGACGAAUGAAAAAAGAGUACAGUAUACUAACACCCUUUUACAAGCAUACUCCCUCUCAUGUCGAUAUCCUUGAGUUGACGCAUUCCAAUCAUAUAUAUUAAUUUCUUGAAUGUUGAGGUUGACAAUGAUUUUGUGAAUAAAUCUGCUAGAUUAUCACUUGAGCGUAUUUGUUGCACAUCAAUUUCACCACUCUUCUAGAGUUCAUGUGUACAAAAGAAUUUUGGUGAAAUGUGUUUAGUUCUAUCUCUUUUAAUAUAACCCCCUAUUAUUUGUGUAAUGCAUGUAGCAUUAUCUUCAAAUAAUAUUGUCGGGUCACCUUUGAUAGAGGAGAGUCCACAUGAUUCCCGAAUAUGCUGGACCAUAGAUCUUAGCCUUAUACAUUGAUGACUUGCUUCAUGAAUUGCCAGUAUUUCUGAAUGAUUUGAUGAUGUGGUCACCAUUAUUUGUUUGACAUCUUUCCAUGAAAUAGUAGUACCAUUGCAAUUAAACACAUACCCUAUUUGUGACCUACCUUUAUGUGGAUCUGAAAGAUAUCCUGCAUCUGCAUAUCCAAGCAAUUGUUGCUUUGAUUCCGUUGAGUAAAAUAAACCCAUAUCAAUAGUUCCGCAAAGAUAACAUAAUAUAUGUUUGAUACCAUUUCAAUGUCUUCGAGUUGGAGUGGAACUGUAUCUUGCUAAUAAAUUGACAGAAAAAGCAAUGUCUGGACGUGUACAAUUGGCAAGAUACAUAAGUGCACCAAUAGUACUAAGAUAUGGUACUUCAGGACCAAGUAACUCUUCAUUUUUUUCGCAAGGACGAAAUGAGUCAUUUUUCACAUCAAGUGAUCGGACAACCAUUGGAGAACUUAAAUGAUGCGCUCUAUUCAUAUAAAAGCGCUUCAAAAAUUUCUUAAUGUAUGUUGAUUGAUGUACUAAAACUCAAUUUGGAAAAUGCUCGAUCUGCAGGCCGAGAUAAAAUUUUGUUUUUCCAAGAUCUUUCAUCUCAAAUUCCUUUUUCAAGUAAUUUGUUGUUCUUGUGAGUUCUUCAGGAGUUCCAACAAGAUUUAAGUCAUCGACAUACACUGUAAUAAUUGCAAAUCCGAUUUCUGAUUUCUUAAUGAAGAUGCAUGGGCAUGUAGGGUUAUUCACAUAUCUUUUUUUUUAGCAAAUAUUCGCUAAGACGAUUGUACCACAUGCGUCCAAAUUGCUUUAAUCCAUACAAGGAUCGUUGUAACUUGAUUUAGUACAUGCUAUGAGACUUUGUACUAUUUUCUCCAGGCAAUUUAAAUCCUUUAGGGAUUUUCAUGUAUAUAUCAUUAUCCAUGGAUUCGUAUAAAUAUGCUGUAAUAACAUCCAUGAGAUGCAUAUCCAAUCCUUCUGAGACUGCCAAACUAAUUAAGAAACGAAAUGUGAUUGCAUCCAUGACAGGAGAAUAUGUUUUCUCGUAGUCAAUACUAGGUCUCUACGAGAAACCUUGUGCUACUAAUCGCGCUUUAUAUUUUAUGAUAUCAUUAUUCUCAUUGCGCUUUCGUACAAAUACCCAUUUGUACCCAAUAGGCUUUACAUCCUCAGGUGUUUGGACUACAGGUCCAAAAACUUCUCGUUUUGUUAACGAGUUUAACUCUGCUUGUAUAGUUUCUUUCCAUUUUAGCCAAUCAUUUCUAUGUCGACAUUCUUCCAUAUUUCGUAGUUCGGGAUUUUCAUCAUUUCUUAUGACUUCAUAGGCCACUUGGAAAGCAAAAAUAUUGUUAAUAACAAUAUUAUUUUGAUCCCAUUUUUCUCCCGUGUGUACAUAACUUACUAAGAUCUCACAAUUUUCAGGUACCUAUGCCUCUUUAGGGGCUUCUCGUUCAAUAUGUGGCUCUUCAUGGGCUUCUUGUUCAAUAUGUACCUCUUCAGGGGCUUUCUGUAUUAUUUAUGCCUCUUCUAGGGUUAUAAAUUUAUCAAUUUUAAAUUGAUCAGUCAUUUUGAUGACCUCUUCUAGAGUGCCAAGUUUUUCUUGGGUUCUCAUUUCUGGGAAGAUACAUUCUUUGAGCCAACAAGUUUACCACAUUUCAGGCGUAUCUUAGAUUCAUUUGUUAACUGUCCUACAGGGACAUCGAUCUGUGCUGAGUAUUUGCAGCCGGGAUAUAUGACUUUGUCACUUUCUUUGUAUUAAUGAAUGCAUAUGGUAAUUGAUUUGCAAGAUUUUGCAAAUGAAUGAUCCUUUGGAAGAUGGGUCAUAGUAGAUGCCUUCCAACUAAUUUCUCAUCGUUCUUUAGAAAUUGACUUUUCUCCCCUCUAAUGACUGGAAAACACUCUCAUUAAAAUGACAAUCCGCAAAGCGGGCAGUAAAAACAUCACCUGUUAAAGGUUCAAGAUAUCUUAUGAUAGAUGGAGAAUCAAAACCUACAUAAAUCCCAAGUCUUCGUUGGGAACCCAUUUUAGUGCGUUGUGUAGGUGCAAUUAGUACAUAAACUGCACAACCAAAGAUUUGUAAGUGAGAGAUAUUUGGUUGUUUUCCAAGCACAAGUUGUGAAGGGGAGUAUUCAUGGUAAGUUGUAGGUCAAAUACGGAUUAAAGCUGCAGCAUGCAUAAUAGCAUGUCCCUAGGCAGAAGUAGGUAAUUUGGUUCUCAUUAGUAAUGGUCGAGCUAUUAAUUGGAGAUGUUUGAUGAAGGAUUCUGCUAAACCAUUUUGGGUAUGAGUAUGAGCAACAAGAUGCUCAAUAUUUAUCCUUAUUGACAUGCAAUAGUCAAUGAAUGUUUGAGAAGUAAAUUCGCCAGCAUUAUCAAGACGUAUUGUCUUAAUUGGAUAAUCUAGAAAUUGUGCUCGUAAUCUGAUUAUUUGUGCAAGGAGUCUAGCAAAGGCAACGUUACGUGUAGAAAGGAGACAAACAUGUGACCACCUAGUAGAAGCAUAUAUUAAGAUCAUAAAAUAACGGAAUGGUCCACAUGGUGGAUGGAUAGACCCACAUAUGUCCCUAUGUAUUCUUUCUAAAAAGACUGGUGACUCAGAUUGACUUUAGUAAAAGAUGGUCUCAUUAUCAAUUUACCUUGUGAGCAGGCAACACAUGAGUAUUCAUUGGGUGAAAGAAUCUUCUAGUUCUUUAGUGGAUGUGCAUGUGAGUGUUCGAUUAUUCGACGCAUCAUUGAAGACCCUGGGUGACCUAGCCUGUCAUGCCAAAGGACAAAAACUUUUGGGUCGUUGAACUUCUGGUUCACGACAACAUAUGAUUCAAUAGGCUUUAUAGUUGUAUGAUACAACCCAGAUGAGAAAUUCGAGAGUUUUUCCAUUAUAAGCUUCUGGCCAGAUAUAAUGGAAGUAAUGUAAAUAUAUUCUAUAUUAUCUUCAUUCAUAGUUUCAAUAUGAUAUCCAUUUUUGCGGAUAUCUUUAAAACUGAGCAAAUUUCUUCUGGAUUUGCUAGAAUAUAAAGCGUCAUUUAUAUGGAAUCUAGUUCCAUUUGGCAACGUUAUGUUUGCUCUUCCAGAACCUUCAACUAAGUUUGUAGUACCAGAUAUGGUACUUACAUUAGCUUUUAUUAAUGUCAAUUCAAGAAAAUAUCUUUUAUCUAGAAGAAUUGUAUGCGUGGUCGCACAGUCUACGAGACAUACAUCAUCCUCAUUCAUCUUGAGACCAAAUAACACAUGGAUUUCAGAUAUAACAAAAUAAAACAAGGCAUAAUGUAAAUAACAAAGUAAAUCAGAUGUAAAUAUAAGACAUAAUAAUAUAUUAUUUCAUAUAUAAAGUAACAUCAAUCAAUGUUAAUUUUCUCAUCAUUUAUCAAAUGGUCUGUUUUUUCAUUGGGACCUCCAAAGAAAUCAAUGUUAUAGUAGGUUAGGUCUAAUCCAUCACCAUCGGUAAAGUUCAUCUCUAUCUCUUUUCUUUUUGCUUUUAUUGAUGCUUGGUAAAGGUCGACUAAAUGUUUGGGCAUACGACAGGUACGCGACCAAUGCCCCUUCAUACCACAUCUAUAACAAUUAUUCUCGUGGUUCUUAGGAGGUUUAUCUUGUAAAUACUUCCCAUUUUAUUGUAUUGUCUCAGUAUUGUUCCAUUUCUGGUGGUGCAAUGAGGCUUUCAUUUUCUGAGAAUUAUUACUAUAAGAACCAUGGUAUCGGGGAUUUCUUCCACGAUCACGACCACGUCCACGAGUUUGGGACGAUAUUGCAUUGUUCAGAUCUAGUUGGACGAGAUUGGUGAUUUCUCAUCAAAAUCUCAUUAUUUUGUUUAGCAACAAGAAGACAUGAUAUUAAUUCAGAAUAUUUUGUAAAUCUACGCUCUCGUUAUUGCUGCUACAAGAGCACAUUCGAGGUAUGAAACGUAGUAAAAGUUUUCUCUAACAUGUCUUCUUCUGUGAUUUUUUCUCCACACAGCUUUAAUUGAGAGUUGAUUUUGAAAAGUGCGGAGUUGUAUUCACUAACAGUUUUAAAAUCUUGCAACCUUAGGUGCAUUCAAUCAUAUCGAGCUUUUGGGAGAAUCACAGUUUUCUGGUGGUCAUAUAUUUCCUUCAAAUUACUCCAUAGAGUAAAAAAGUCCUUUACCAUAAGAUACUCAUUUUUUAAAGCUUCAUGGAAGUGAUGGCGAAGGAAAAUCAAUGCUUUUGCGCGAUUCUGCAGGGAUGCUUGAUUUCUUUCUUUGAUUGUAGCUCCAAGGUUCAUUGCAUCAAGAUGUAAUUCAGCAUCAAGGAUCCAAGAUGGAUAGUUCUUUCCCAAAAUGUCAAGUGCCACAAAUUCGAGUUUUGUGAUAGUCGACAUUGUCAAAUAACUUCAUAUAUAUGACAAAACAAUAUUAUUAGAAUCAAUUAUAAUAACUUGAUAGCAUUGGUAUAACUUUGAUUAUAAACAAAAUCAAAUAAUUUGUUUAUAACUUUUAACAAUAUGUAACAAAACAAAUCAACAAUAAUAUAACUAUGUAAAAUUUUAUCCUAUAUAAAUAACUUCAGGUUUAAGAUACGAGAAUUACCUUCAAAGCAAUUCGUGCUGAUAACGUGUUGUAAAAGGAGAAUAAAUGUGACUCAAAUAAUAGUAGGGAUGACUAUGUAUUACUUUAAUAAUAUAUAUAUAUAUAUAUAUAGAGGGAGGAGGAGGAGGAGGAGGAGGAGGAGGGGGGAGGGGGGGGGGGGGGGACCAAAACAAAAAAAAAUGUUGGGAAAAUGAAAAAAAAAAAGAGAAAGAAUGGGAGGAAAAAAAUUUUUUUUUUUUUUUCAGGAUGCUCUAACAUGGGGGGGAAAAAGCCUUUUAUAGGUUUUCUAAUAAGAACUCCCCUUACUCCUCUUAAAAAUGAGUAAAUGGAGUUCAUAAAAGACCCUCAAUGUGGUCCUUCCUCACUUCCUUUUCAACAAUUAUUAAUUUUUUGUAUUACUUAAAAGGGNNNNNNNNNNNNNNNNNNNNNNNNNNNNNNNNNNNNNNNNNNNNNNNNNNNNNNNNNNNNNNNNNNNNNNNNNNNNNNNNNNNNNNNNNNNNNNNNNNNNGGGAGGGGGGGGGGGGGGGACGAAAUCAAAGAGAAGUGUUGAGAAAAUGAAAGAAAAAGAGAGAGAGAAUGAGAGGAAGAAAAUUUCUUUCUUUUUCUCAGGAUGCUCUAACAUGGGGUGUAAGAAGCCUUUUAUAGGUUUCAUAAUAUGAACUCCCAUUACUCAUCUUAAAGAUGAGUAAAUGGAGUUCAUAAAUGACCAUCAAUGUGGUCAUUCAUCACUUCAUUUACAACAGUUAUUAAUUUGUUGUAUUACUUAGAGGGGGUGAAUGAAUUGAAAGCACUAUGGAGGUAAGCUUUUUAGUCUUUUCACCUUAUCCUUUUUAUACAUAAUGUCUCCAUCAAUGAUGUUCAGUAUAUUCCUUAUUUUUGUUUUACUCAAGUGUUCCUGUAUUGUAGCCCUCUCAAGACUCUUCCUCUUCACUCCAAACAAGUUAAUUGUCUUCAUAUCAAAGUAACAUAAGUUGAUUUUCUUAGAGGGCUAAUGCUACUUAUGUGAUUAUUUCUUUUACAAAAGUUGCAAAUAGUACUAUUUGAGGAUUCCUUGACAAAAUAAUUUUUAAAUUUUAAUUUUUUUAUUUUUUAUUUUUAUAGAGCUUGUAUCCUAAUCCCUUUAUGCCAAAGAUUAUUUUUUUACUUGCCAAAAUUAUCAAAAUUCUUGUCCCCAUUUGAGAAUUUUGAAAGAGAAGAGAUUAACUAAUGAAUUUUCUUUUCAAGUAAGUAUAUAUUUUAUUCCAAGGAAAACCUUAGCCUUUUUCAGAUAUUUUAAACUCCCAUUUUAAGUUAUUAAUUUCAACUUGAAGAGAGAUGAUUUUCUUUUUAAGAUAAGCCUGAAAGUUAUUUGAUCUAGUUUAGGUAACACCUAGAGGAGUUGAAUGGGUGUUUAAAAUUUUCUGCUUAAAAAUGAAUUAUUUUAUAAUCAUAUAACAAACAUUUUUUCAAUUUAGGAAAGCCUAAAAACACUCAAUACAAAAACAUAAGAUUUUUAUAUGGAAAACCACCCAUAUCAUGUGCGGAUGUAAAAACGACAAAGUCAGACUUUUAAUCAUUAAUUAACUAUUUGAAAGUAUUAUACAUGGUUUUAGUUGGUGGAAGCUAUCGUUAAGUCUUAUUACCCAACACCUACAAUGCACUUCACAUUUGCGAUAUAGCACUACAUGUGCUCUUAGUGGAUCUAACCUCAGUGCUUGAGAGGAUGUAGAUCUCCUUUUCAAUCCAACAUAAGCGAAAACAACAUUCCUUAAGAGUUUUAGGAAUAAGAUGACGAAUUUGGUUUUUCAAAAAAUUUGCAUCAAACCAAAAACCUUUUUAGGUAAAACAUUUAUAGGCAUAAGAAGCUAGCGGACUGGAUCUACAAUUUUCCAAAAUAAGACCUUAAAAAAAUUUAGAAAAUCAAAGUUCCAAAAACUUUGGAGAAUUCUAUCAUGGGUGUUUGAGUGCUCAUGGGAGCACUUGAGUGCUUAUGGAGAUUUUUUAAACUUUUUAAAAAUUCUUUUAGCUCAGUUUUAAAACCCUUAGUUCGCACUAUGCCUUAACAAACACCAAUUUGUCAUUCUUGAACCUUUUGAUUUUUAGUUGUGCCAUCUCGAUUGAUCACAUAACAACUUUGAGUCUUCAAUGAAGAGUAAAACACAAUUAGAAAGAUUCUAAACUAGAAUGAAAGGAACAAAAUUGUUGAUCUUAAAUUAUAUAGCCUAAUAUACCAACAAUCUCCUAUGAUAAUUUUAUGAAAAAAAAUACAAAUUACAUAAACCCCCUAAUACUCUUUAAUGGAGUUUAAGAAUUUCUCAAUAACUCUCGUCUAAACCAAAUCAUUCUUGAACAUACAGAUGAUGAUAAAUCACAUCUAAAAGUGGGCAAUACCCCACUACUUGUGACCUGCACACACAAACCAACCAAGUACCCAAGUAAAACAAUGUGUGAGAGAAAACACAACUCAAAUUCUAUCAAAUCAAGGUAAGAGUAGAUGGAUGUGAGUCAUGCAUACAAUGGAUAUCUAAUCAAUAGUAUCAAUAAAUUGUCUCCCCGUUUUUGUCGCAAAAAUGACAAAGAAGGAAUAAACAAUGAAUGCACAUAAGAGAAAGAGAAAUAAUUAAGCAAAAGAACUUCAACUUAUUUUUAGAAUGCUUCUUUCUUGGUAAGAUCUCUUAAGAAACCCUUCUUGAAAAUAGAAUUUUUUUUUUGUUUUGUUUUUUAUGAUGGAAAAUUGCUUUCUACCUUAAAAACUAUAUUUGGUAAAAUUUCACUAAAAUAAGUUUUUGAAAAUAGGUUAUUUUUUUGGAACAAAAGCUUUUAAAUAUCUAUAUAUAUAUAUAUAUAUAUUGUAGAAUAUUUCAAGAAAUAGUUGAAAAUAUGAAAAAUGUUUCGAGAACCUUUGUAUUUUAGAUUUGUGCACUUCAAUUUCAUGAACAAUAUUAAACUAAGAAAACUGUUUUUUAUAUACUAAUUUCUAAAUAAAAUUUUGUUGCUGGAAAUAACUAAAAUUUAUUUUAAAAAACUAUUUUUUAAGAAUUAUUUUUGAAAACGUUGCUAAAAAGACAAAAGUCCUUGGUCAUUUUUUUUUUCUUUUAUAUUUUUAUCUUUAUGUAAGAGGCCGGUCUUUUUUUUUUUUUUAAUGUUCCAUAAUCCUUGUGAUAUUGUAACGUGUAAUUCAUUUAUUUGACUUCAAAAGUUAAGAAAUAAUGAACCUUUCAUUAUUGUAGUUUGUCUUGUAGUAAGAGACUUAAAAAUCCAUGUACAAGAGGUCUUCGUUUCUUAAGUCAAGUCAACAAAAUGGAGGUGGAAGAAAUAAUGAACUUUCAUUAUUGUAGUUUGUCUUGCUAAAAGCCAUGUAUAACGGGUCUUCUUUUCUUAAGUCAAGUCAAUAAAUCAAAUUAAAAGAAAUAAUAAACUUUUAUUAUUGUAUUUUAUUUUGUAGCAAGAGACUUAAAAAACCAUGUAUAACAAGUCUUCCUUUCUUAAGUCAAGUCAAUAAAUCAAAUUAAAAGAAAUAAUAAAUUUUCAUUAUUGUACUUUGUUCUUGUAGCAAGAGACUUAAAAAUCCAUGUAAGAGGUCUUCAUUUCUUAAGUCAAGUCAAGUCAAUAAAUCGAAUCGGAAGUUUUUCCUUUUUUUUUUUUUUAAACCAACUUCUACUAUUACUUUUAUUAGUUAUUUUGAUCAUUUGAUUAAAUAUUGAAUUAUUAUUAUUUUUUAAAAAUUUUCAAGUACAAACCAUUUCAUGUUAAAAAAUUUAAAGUGGAUGUAACUUUCUUUUCAAGUUAAGAUAUCUUGAUUAAGGGAUAAAUAAUGGAUUGCAAUAUUUCAACUUUAAUUAAGUUAAUUUAUCAAUAUUCAAAUUAAGUUGGAGAAAAAAAAAAAAAAAAAGACAACACCUCAAUUUUAGUUUUCCAUUACACAUGAUUAUUUCUUUUUCUUCUUUUUCCUUUGCUUCUUUAACACGCAAUGAGAGCUCUAGUCAUCAUACCUUUCAAGACUCUAAACUUACAAAAAUUUUCAGUCUUUUCAUCGUAUCUUUUAAAAUUCUUGACACUCAUAAAGUAUUUAAGACUUAAUUUUAAUAAAUUCAUAUUUUUACAACUAUAACUAAGAGCUUUGACCUAUUAAAAAAAUGAAUAAAAAAUACUUUGCAAGACAUUAAAAGUUCAUAAUUAUUUCUUUUACCUUAAAUGUAGUUGUUAUGUGUUUGCUAGUUCACAUAUUUGAGCGUGGACCGUGGCGACCUGCAGACCCGGAGGGGCAGCGUUGUCUAUCAGAUUUUAGAAAAUUCGUGCAACUAGCCAUAUGGUUUUGGACUAAAAUAAAAAAUAAGACUUUAUUUUUGUUAUUUCUUUUAUCAAGAUAUCUUAAUUAAUAAUUCAAAAAUGUUAAUAAUAAAUUAUAAAAGAGAUUUUUGCUACUCUUCGAAAUUAUAAAAAAGUUUAUACACUCAUAAAACAAAUAAUUAAAUGUAUCUUCUAAUAAAUAAAUUUUUAUUAAAAUAAAUAAAUAUAUAUCUACUUUGACUUUAUUAACAUGAAGUAAAUUGUAGGUAUCUUUAAGUUAGAUUUCUUAUUGAUUAAAGAAAAAGACCAUUCAAGGUUUAGCUAGAUGGAAAAAAAAAUUUUAUUUAUUAGAAAAUUCAAUUUUUUUUAUUGAUGAAUCAUUGAUAAUGAUAUAUAAAAAUAAUUUAUAUAUCAUAUAUUAAUAUUACUUUAUAAAUAUUUUUUAGUUUUUCUUUUUUAAUCAUAAAUUUAAUUUAUAAUUAAAAAAAUUAUUUUAUAAAAAAAAAAAAAUUUAUGAUAUAUCGGAUAUACAUAUCUUAUAUCUUAGUAUAAAAUUAACAUAUCUCGUGUAAAAAAAAAUAAAAAAGAGUGAAUAAUAUAUUUCACCACUUAUACUAUCUCAUCAUUAAUUAAAUAUAAAAUUUAAUGUGAUAUCUUCUCUUUUAUCCUAUAUGAUGUUAUAUUUGGUCAAUCAAACAUAACCUAUAAAACUAAAAUUAUAGAAAUGAAAUGCAAGAGACCUUACUGAAAAAUUGAAAGUAAAAUUAUUGAUUUUUGAAAGUAAAUAUUGAUAAUAUUAUAAAAUUUUCAUUAACAUAAAUUAAAAAAUUAAAGGAAAAAAAAACAUAACACUAUCCUCACAAUUCCGUGAUAUUGUUUUUUUCAUAUUAGAAAUCCUUAUAAUCAACUUUCCUGUUUUAAAAAUAAUUUUUAUUACUAAUUUAGAUUAAAAAAAAAAAAAAAAAACCUUUCAACCAACCACACAUGUGACACAUGGUGGUUGUUUUUGAAUUUCAAUAAAAGAUUUUAUAAUUAUUAAGAAAAGAAAAAAAUGUUAAGAAAAAUGAUUAUUUUUAUUUGAUUUUAUUAUGAAAUAUAUGAAAGUAAAAAUAUAUAAUUAAAAUUAAUAAAAAACUAAUAUAUUUUAAAAUUAUUUAAUUUUUAUUUUUAAAAAUUAAAUAAAUAAAAUAAAAUUAAAAAUAAUUUAUUAAUUUUAAAUUUAUUUUUUAUUUCUCUCUCACUUGUUCUUUAAGACGUGUUGCGUGUAAAAUACCAUAAAACAAGUCAUAUCACCAUGCUCAAGAUUUCAACAUGGUAGGUGUAGGUUUUGAAGACUUUUCCAUGUGAUUAACACUUGGAUACCUGAAUUUUCUUUGGGUGGGGUUGGGCUUCUGUAAGUUUCUCUGCAAUUUUCUCCUACUUGGAAACAAAGGAAUGGUCAAAGAGAGGAACUCAGUGAAGAGAAGAUUGAAACGGACUGGAUACACCCUCGCCUGCUUCGAAGGUUGGUAUGAUCUUCACGGUUGGUAGGCCUUCUCAAGUCUCCAUGCAUGCCUCAUUUUUCCCAUAUGAUAAAUCAAUGGUCGGAAGAGCGAGCUUAACACGAACAAACAUGAUAAAAUCAUUAAAUUUUUGGAAUAAUAAUAUGAUGAAGUUAAUAAAUGAUAAGGAUUAGGAAGAUGUUUAAUGAAAUUUUAAAUUAAUAAUAAUUAGAUGUAUUUAACCUAAACUUUUGGAGAGAUUAAUGAAAUUAAUCAUAUAAAAAUUUCUUUAAUUUUAAUUUUAGAAUAAAUAUUAACAAUAUUUUUUUCAAAUAUAAAUAAUAAUAUUUGGAAAACAUCAUCAGUAAAUUGCCUUUUCAAUUUUUUCUCUAAUUGUCAUUUUAAAUGAAUAUUAAAAUCCUUUUAGUAAAAUUUAUGAAUUUAGUAAAAUAUUAAUAUCUAUAUUUUAUAAUUUUUAAUAAAGUUUUAUCAUUUUUAAUAUAAAAAAAAUUAUAUAAGUUGUGUUUGUCUUAUUAGUAUCACUAUUUACAAAAUUUAUCUUUAUAUUAUUUAUUUUAAAAAUUAUUAUUUAUUAAGAAUCAUUUUUAUAAAAGGUAAAACAUAAUUAUCAUAUAAAUAUAAAUUAAAAGUGGAGGUUAUAUUUGUUAAUUAUUUUUAAAAAGGGAUUUCAAAACAUUACUUCUCCAAAAAUAACAAUAAUAAUAAUAUAAACACAAUAUUGACUCAAAAUAUUAUGUGAAUGAAAAACUUAAAAAUAAUAUAUAUUUGUUUUUUAAAAAAUAUUUUGUCAUAAUUAAAGGUCAUCUACUCAACAUGUUGGUGGGAAUGGUAUAUAAGUCAAUGCCUGCUUUGCUCACAAAUCAAAAACCAAAACUUGCUAAUCCUUGUUAUUACACACUAUCCUUGCUCUGUGUUGAACAUGGCUACAAGCCCCUUUCGAUAUUUUAUUUCCCUUUUUCUGCUUUUGCUCUGUUUCGAAGCCUGUUUGAGGGUGGGUGAUGCUAAAGUUGGGUGCAGAGAGAGGGAGAGGCAAGCUCUCCUUCACUUCAAACAAGGUGUUGUCGAUGACGAUGGAGUGCUUUCUUCAUGGGGGAAUGGGGAAGACAAAAGAGAUUGUUGCAAAUGGAGAGGAGUCAAGUGUAACAACCAGACGGGUCAUGUGAUCAGGCUUGAUCUUCAUGCCCAAUCUUUGGGAGGUAAGAUUGGUCCUUCAUUGGCAGAGUUGCAGCACUUGAAGCAUUUGAACCUCAGCUCGAAUGAUUUUGAAGGUAAUUAUAUACAUAUAUACCUUGUGAAAAUUCAUCAGUUUGUCUCAGCAGAAUAUAAUUCUCUCUUUUCCCAAUUUUACAGGAAUUCUUCCCACUCAACUCGGUAAUCUUUCCAACUUGCAAUCCCUUGAUCUUGGCUAUAAUUAUGGGGAUAUGACCUGUGGAAACCUUGACUGGCUUUGUCACCUUCCUUUCUUAACACACCUUGACUUGAGUUGGGUUAAUCUUAGUAAAGCAAUCCAUUGGCCCCAAGCAAUUAAUAAAAUGCCUUCCCUAACUGAGUUAUACUUGAUUGAUACUCAGCUUCCUUCGAUUAUUCCAACAAUAUCCAUUUCCCAUAUUAAUUCUUCUACUUCUCUUGCUGUGCUUCAUCUCCCCUCGAAUGGUCUCACUUCUUCAAUAUACCCAUGGUUGUUCAACUUCAGUAGCAGCCUUGUUCAUCUUGACCUCUCUUGGAAUGAUCUAAAUGGUUCAACUCCGGAUGCUUUUGGAAACAUGACUACUCUGGCAUAUCUUGAUCUCUCUUCGAACGAGCUACGUGGUUCAAUUCCGGAUGCUUUUGGAAACAUGACUACUCUGGCAUAUCUUGAUCUCUCUUGGAACAAGCUACGUGGUUCAAUUCCGGAUGCUUUUGGAAACAUGACUAGUCUGGCAUAUCUUGAUCUCUCUUUGAAUGAACUUGAAGGUGAGAUUCCAAAAUCCUUGACAGAUUUAUGUAAUUUACAGGAAUUAUGGUUGUCUCAGAACAAUCUCACUGGACUGAAGGAAAAAGAUUAUCUGGCCUGCCCUAAUAACACAUUAGAGGUUUUAGAUUUAUCUUAUAAUCAAUUGAAAGGGUCAUUUCCCAAUCUUUCUGGAUUUUCACAGUUGAGAGAAUUAUUUCUUGAUUUCAAUCAACUAAAGGGAACUUUACAUGAAAGUAUUGGACAACUAGCUCAACUUCAACUGUUGUCCAUUCCUUCAAAUUCAUUGCGAGGCACUGUCUCCGCAAACCACCUUUUUGGUCUCUCCAACCUGUCUUACUUAGACUUAUCUUUCAACUCCCUUACAUUCAACAUAAGCCUUGAGCAAGUUCCCCAGUUUCGAGCCUCAAGUAUACUAUUGGCCUCUUGCAAAUUAGGCCCACGUUUUCCUAAUUGGCUUCAAACUCAAGAAGUUUUGAGCGAACUUGAUAUCUCUGCUUCUGGAAUUUCAGAUGUCAUUCCCAAUUGGUUUUGGAAUUUAACUUCAGAUUUAAAUUGGUUAAACAUUUCCAACAAUCACAUCUCGGGCACUUUGCCCAAUUUACAAGCAAGGUCUUAUUUGGGAAUGGAUAUGAGUUCAAAUUGCUUGGAAGGUUCAAUACCACAAUCUGUUUUCAAUGCUAGAUGGUUGGAUCUCUCCAAGAACUUGUUUUCAGGCUCAAUUUCUUUAUCGUGUGGGACUCCUAAUCAGCCUAGUUGGGGUUUGUCUCAUCUUGACCUCUCAAAUAAUCGACUAUCAGGAGAACUACCCAAUUGUUGGGAGCAGUGGAAAGAUUUAAUUGUUCUUGAUUUGGCAAAUAAUAAUUUUUCUGGGAAAAUUAAAAAUUCGAUUGGCUUGUUACAUCAGAUGCAAACAUUGCAUUUAUGUAACAAUAGUUUUACUGGAGCACUGCCUUCGUCCUUAAAGAACUGCAGAGCUUUGCGUCUUAUAGAUUUGGGAAAAAAUAAAUUGUCAGGAAAAAUAACCGCAUGGAUGGGAGGAAGCCUGUCAGAUUUGAUCGUUCUCAACCUAAGAUCUAAUGAAUUUAAUGGAAGCAUACCUUCAAGUCUUUGUCAACUGAAACAGAUUCAAAUGUUGGACCUCUCUAGCAACAAUCUAUCAGGAAAGAUACCAAAAUGUCUCAAAAAUUUAACUGCCAUGGCUCAAAAAGGAAGUCCGGUCCUUUCUUACGAAACAAUUUACAAUUUGAGUAUCCCAUAUCACUAUGUUGAUAGUACAUUGGUUCAAUGGAAAGGAAAAGAACAAGAGUACAAGAAAACUCUUAGAUUCAUUAAGAGCAUUGAUUUUUCAAGAAACCAAUUAAUUGGUGAAAUUCCAAUAGAAGUAACUGAUUUGGUAGAAUUGGUGUCUUUGAAUUUAUCAAGAAACAAUUUGAUUGGAUCAAUCCCUACAACAAUUGGUCAAUUGAAAUUAUUGGAUGUUCUUGAUCUAUCUCAAAACCAACUUAAUGGUAGAAUUCCGGAUACUCUUUCUCAAAUAGCCGAUCUAAGUGUUUUAGACCUAUCAAAUAACACCUUGUCAGGUAAAAUUCCAUUAGGCACUCAAUUACAAAGCUUUGAUGCCUCCACAUAUGAGGGAAAUCCUGGACUUUGUGGACCACCUCUUUUGAUAAGGUGUCCUGAAGAUGAACUUGGGGGAGUCUCCUUCACUAGUGGUCUUAGUAGUAAAAAAGAGGACAUUCAAGAUGAUGCAAAUAAUAUAUGGUUUUAUGGAAAUAUUGUUCUUGGAUUCAUCAUCGGAUUUUGGGGAGUUUGCGGCACUUUACUAUUCAAUAGUUCAUGGAGAUAUGCCUAUUUCCAAUUGUUGAGCAAGAUAAAGGAUUGGUUGUACAUGACAACAAUAGUAAAUAUGAAUAGAAUACGAAGGAGCCUGCAAGGUUAAAUGGUAAGACUUCUCAAAUUCUCUUUUUAGUUUUUCUGGUAAAAUGUGUUAACUUCUAUUUAUUAUCCAACAGUUAAGAAUAAAAAGUACACUUUAUGCUACUACUCAAAUCCCUCUUCUAUUAUUUGAUUGACCUUCCACAAUAUAUUGAUGAAAGCUUAGAUUUUGCAAAUAGAAGCAUCGAUAAAAUAAGCAAGCGUAGAAGAUUUUAAUAUACUUUUUUGUAAUAGUUGUGCAUAUUUAGCUUUCAUCAUGUAAAGAUUAAUCUUAUAGGCCGAGGAUCAUAGUUGAAGAAUGAUUAUUUGUAUUUUUAUUUCUAUCUUACUUCAAGUUACAAUUUUUUCUUUUAAAUGUUAAGUUAAUUUGUUGUCUUCAAAUAUUAUAAGUACAUUAAAAGUUCAAUUGUAAGUAACAUACUAAAACCUUCAUUUCUACUAAUCAAGAAGAGUCGCAACUAAGAAAUUAUUCCAAAUUGAUGAGCGUUGUUGCAUUUCAUCUUUGUAUUACAGGACUUCAGCUGGGUUGCAUCUCAAGGAUUAGUAGGUGAUAUAUGCUUUUGAGUAACGGGAGUAUUUAUGAUGGGAUAGUUACAUGCCUUAAUGCAAAAGCUUGUCAUCGGAUAAAUGACAUCAACAUGUAUUAAGUUUGCUUAUUUGGUAGUUAGCUUGGCUUUAAGUUUCUCGUGUUAUAUUCUAUUUAGAACUUUUUAAACAUUAAUUUUUGCUAUUAUAUGUACGACUUUGUAUUUUGUUGCUCUAAAAUUUAUUUGUUAUUUUUGUAGAAUCAAAUAUUAGAGGCCUUUGUAGGGGGUGCUAAAAAAAUACUUCAUCUUAGAAAAAUAUUUUUUUUUUUGCUCAAAAACAAAGUUUAUUUUUUGGGAAAUGCAAUGUGAUAAUACCCAUUAGUAUGAAAUGUGGGAUAUGCUACUACUGAAAACAGAGCACUCUGUUUUUUUGGUGCUCAAGCAUGAAAGCUCCUGUAACACAGAGAGGUCUGAUUUCCAACCGUGAAUCAAAUUGCUUAAGGUACUCCAUAUGCAGAUUGCUGGAAGUCACUUUGGGCAUCAAUCAUCUUCAAGGGACGAUGAUGAUGGGAAUUGGAUCAACGGCGGUAAAGACCAACUAUGGAAAGUUUGCUAAAAAGCUCCCAUUUCUUUAUUUUGGUUUCUGCUUUUGUAAAUAACAAUGUUAUCCAAAAUUUGUGUUGGUUGCUCAAGUUUUGUAAAAGCUAUUCAACCAAUACAAAUCGCUACAUAAUAUGCAUUUUGCCGAAGAUCUGUGAUGAUUUGGAGCUCUCUCCAAUGCCAUACCAGGUUACAACUGAAACAAGCAUCUUAUUUAGGAAUAGUUAACAACAACGAAGAACUGCAAUUUAUAUUUGUGUUUUUUGUUCCACUGAAUAUUGCAGUAAUCAACUUAUGGAAGAAGUUGGAGCUGUUGGAGAAGAAAGUGCUCUUCAUGUUUGCUCAAACAAUUCAGAGGGAAGUUUAGCUUUUGCUUUGGUAGUUGUGAAGUUGCAAACUGUUAUUAGAAUAAGAAGCCUCUACUUUUGCUUGUUACUGAAUAUGAAUUUUUUUUUUAAGAAGUAAAUUUGCUAAUUAUUGUUCUUUUUCUUAGGCACCCAAGAAAAGAGUAUGUACUUUUAGCAAAGACCAAGAGGAAACUAUUAGAGCUUCAUUUGAGCAGUGAGUGCUUAAUUUGUUCUUUUUUGUGGCAUAUGCAUGUAGUCUUAAAUUUGAUUUCCCUCUGCAUAAUUGAUGCUGAAUAUUGUGAUUUUGGAAAGAUUAAUGCUAGUCUCCUUUUCGUCUUUUAAAUUAAAUUAGAUUUGUUUACGUAUAGGUUUAAAGACCAUAAAAGGUGCACCUACAUGAUUGUAAGUGCUCUAGAUGGUGAUGGUACGUUCACAGCUGCCCAAGUUUCCCAUAAGCUCAAGCAACAAUUUGCUUGUGUUCCUCAUCAAAAAAAGAGUUGAAGACAACUUGCAUUUGAGAGAUGAAGAUCUUAAUGGUUGUGAUAUAGCCAAAGCACAGGAUUCCAAUGAUGAAACAUUGUUUUCACUAAGAAAAAGGUAACUAUAUCUUUAUGAAUUUCAUGCAAUUUUGUGAAUUAAUCUUAUUUGUGUGAUAUCCCACAUCGAAUGAGGGGAAAACUAUUAUAUAUACAUAUAUAGGUUCUCUUAGACACGUUUUAAAACUCAUGAGGGCCCCUUAAGCCCAUAAUAGAUAAUAACUACAUAGUUAGCAGUGGAUCGUUAUAGCUUGUAUGCAAACUUUAUCACAUACUUGCAUCUUUGUGGUUGCAGACUUGUAGUGUAUUUGCAUUUGCUUGCAUUUGUCAAGUACUAUACUUUGGUGAUGAAAUCAUAAAUUCAUGACACUCAAGACUUAAUCCAAUUGACAUGUUUUUUUUUUUACUAAAUACAAUAACUAAUUCUUAAGUUAUAAAUUAUAUCACCAAAUUAUUUUUUUACAAUAUAUAGUUUAUUUCAAAUUUUAUUUUAUUUUUCUUCACCUCUUAGGUUUAUCACUUUACAUUACAAAAUAAAAUAAAUUGCAAUUUCCCUUUUCACAAGAUUUUUAUUUUUACAAAAUAUUCAAUAUUUUCCAACUUUUAUAAAAUAAUUUCCGAAAUUAUAUAAUCGGCUGUUAUAAAGAUUUUAAAUUUUUGUGUUGUCAUGGGAUUAUUUUGUUGGCAUGCUUGACCCAGUUGGUAACUUAGGUUUUUUUUUUUUUUUUAAUUCGCCUGACCUUCACAUGUGGCCUAUUACCAUUGGUGGAAAAUUGUGGGUAAGGUGAGAUUUCGGUACCCAAGCUUGACCAUAUAUAUCUGUGAAUUACGCAGAAGACUCGAAAAGUCAAAGGAAAAAUCCUGGGAACCAAGCUGGAAAACACAGGACUGUUAUUUCAGGGAAGGUGUACGUUUGGGGGCAUAUUACAGCUUGGGUACUGAACAAGAGGCAUGUAAGAAGUCUGGCCAUGGAUGCAGAAGAAGAAAAGCAAAGUAAAACCCACAUCCAUGGACAGUUGGUAGAGAUAAACCACAAUCAGGAGAAACGAAUACGCCACGAAGAAACAAAGGCACAGAAUCUGACAACUGGGUUUGCGGUCGUCCAAGUUUUAAUUCUCAACACACUGGUGAUCAACAAGCCAUCCGGCAGAUGCGAACACUGGUGGGUGCCAUUCUCUCUCUCCUUAUCAGUCGGUGUGAUUUAUUUCGUCACCAUUUUUGAGGUAGUGAAGAAAUGCUACCUUCUGCUCUACCAUUUGGACGUCAACUACAUGGAGCAAGAAGCCAUUCUUCUGGAAAUGCAUGGGGGUGCUUCGUCCCGGCGACAUGAUCAGCCAUUGAAGCCAGAUGUGGUGAAGCUCCUGAGGCGUAAAGCUUAUAUCACGAUACUGAUUUCUGCCAUGCUCGCCUUUCAAGCUCUGAUGCUCCACGCCUGCAGCUCCUUUCUUUGCAACUGAGAUUAACCAUUAGCUAUGUUCACAUGUGAUUAAUGCUCUUGCCGUUUUAAAUACAUAAGAAUAAUGUUGUUUCAAAAAUCGUUUGCUUAUAUUUAAAUACUAUUUUCUCUUUUCCAACUGUCCUUACAAAUAGUCUUAUGCUUAGUAGUAGAAAAAAAAAAAAUAUUAAGAUGAAAAUUAUGUAAUUCAAAUUGAAUGCAUCAAUGGAACCGAAAUUAUUCAUCGUGAAAUUUAUUUACAUCGUUUUUCUUUCCAAAGUAUUUUCUAGUUGGAAAGAAAAUUCCAACAUUGCAAUUUUCGUUAGAAAAACGGGACAAAUUAUAAAAGAAAAGAAAAAUCAAUCUCAAAUACCAAUAUUAAAAUGAUUUAUCUAUUUAUCAACACAAUUUGAGUGGAAGAAAUAAAGACACGUGGAAAUCUAUAUAUCAGGAAUCAAAUAGGGUCAAGAAUGGGUUCCAACAAGAACCAUCAAUGGGCUGCCCAAUCAAUAACAAAAGGCCCUCGAUGGGUCUCAUGGGCCAAACAAAAUGGAGCCAGCACACAAUAAGUUUAAACCCAAAUAAAAAUUUCAAGUACAUAUUUUCAAUCCCAUUUAUAAUUUAUUCAUUUAAAUUAGAAAUCUAUAUAUCAAGAAUCAAAUUAGAGAGACCAAAAUUAACAUAUCAGAGUAGAAAUCUUUACAAUCAAAUUUCUUUUUUAUAAAUUUAAAAAUAUUUUCUAUAACUAAUUUAGAUUAGCAAAAAAGAAAAAAAAAAUCUUCAUCGGACCACACAUGUGAUACACUUUGGUAGUUGUUUUUAAAUUUCAAUAAACAUUCUUACAUCAAAAGUAUAAAAAAAACUAAAAAAAAAAAGGAAAUGUUUAGGAAAGUUUGAUUUUAUUGUAGAAAUUAAACAAAAAAAAGUUAAAUAUAAUUAAAAUUAGUAAAAAAAACUUAAAUAUUUUUAGAUUAUUUUAAGUUUGAUGUAAAGUAUAAAAAUAAUUUUUUAAUUUUAAAUCAAUUUUUUUUCUUUGCUUCUAUUUUUUUCUUUAUUUUUUUUUCUUUUCCUCACAUUUUUUCUUUCACUCCUGAGGAACCAAACAUAACCUAAAAGUUUUAAAUAUAUAAAAAAAAACUUCAUAUUAUAUAUAUAAGGGUUGUUAUUAUAUUGAUUUAUAUAAGUACAAUAUGAUUUUUUUUUUUUUUAUAACCGUGGAUGUUCGGGCCAGCUUACGCGCACCUCGACUAAUCCCACGGGGCCCUGAAGUUAACGACCGGGUAAACCUCCAGUGGCCCUGAGGGGACUCGAACUGGUGACCAUAAGGGAGCAAACCCAAGGCCGGACCAACUGAGUUACCCCUCAGGGUUAUAAGUACAAUAUGAUUAUUCAAAUCAUAUUACAUGUAUAGAAUACGAGAAAUCAAGUUGUGUCAUACUCAAAAUUUCAACAUGAUAGAUAUAGCUUUUGAAGACUUUUCCUUUGCGAUUAAUUCUUAUACUUGGAAUUUGUUUAGGUAGGGUAGGGUUUUUGGAAGUUUGUUCGCAAUUUUCUCAUACUUGGAAACAAUUUCCAAAGGAAUGGUCAGAGAAAGGAACUAAACAAAUAGAAGAUUGAAACGGACUAGAUAGACCCUCACCUGCACCGAAGGUUUGUAUGAUCUUCGUGGACCGCAGGCCGCAUGGCCUUCUCAAGCCUCCAUGCCUUGCUUUUCCGCUUAUAAAGAACAGCCAAAAAGGACUUGACUGAUCUGAAAAAUCAGUGGCCGGAAAAGCGAGCUCGACACGGAGAAACAAUUGCCCAUGCAGUUUGGGAGAUCACAGAGCGAACUGUUGGAGUCUGGGCUUUUGUUUCUUCGUGUCGAUCUCGCUUCCCUUUAUGGCAGAGCUUUUCUCACCCUUCAGACACUCUCCUCCCAAACCAACCUCUCACAGCUUCAAUGCAGCUCACAUCCUCCUCACCGGCGCAUGGUGGUUACUACACUAUCCAGAUGCUGCAGCAGCCCACUUCCCUCAGCCUUGGACUCAUCUACAACUUGCCCGACUCUUACAUCACCUCGUUGCAGUCUUACACCAACUACUCCUACUGGUCUGGACCCGAUAUAUCAAACGUAACAGGCGAUGUAGUCGCGGUUUUAGACAGGGCGGGGAGCUUUGGGAUCAUGUAUGGGUCAUCAUCUGAUGGGGCGGUUUAUGUUUACAAAAGUGAUACUGAUGAGAAAGGGCUGUCUUCGUCGUGUGAAUCAGAUAGUUAGGCCAUUAGUUCUUCGAAGACUGAUACUCGAGAUGAAUGGGAAUUUGAGGCUGUAUCGUUGGGACGAUGAUGUGAACUGCACUCGCCAAUGGGUGCCUGAAUGGGCUGCAGUUUCUAACCCAUGUGAUAUUGCUGGGGUUUGCGGAAAUGGGGUGUGUAGCUUGGACAGAAGCAAGACUAAUGCCUCCUGUACAUGCCUGCCGGGGGCUUCUAAGGUGGGAGACAGCGGCCAGUGCUCAGAGAAUUCGUCGGUGUCAGCUGGGAAAUGUGAUAAUAAUCAUCGGAAUUCAACUGCUUCCAAGCUGAAGAUGUCUAUAGUACAGCAAACUAACUACUAUUACCCUGAAUCUUCGAUUAUAGCAAAUUAUAGUAACAUGUCCCAAUUGUCAAAGUGUGGGGAUGCUUGUUUAUCAGACUGUGAUUGUGUUGCUUCCGUGUAUGGGCCGAGUGAGGAAAAGCCUUACUGUUGGCUGCUGAACAGCUUGGAGUUCGGUGGAUUCGAGGACACGAGUUCGACGUUGUUUGUGAAGGUUGGGCCUAAUGGGUCACCUGAAGACAAAGCAACAGGAUCUGGGGAUUCAUCUGAUGGCCUCCGGGACAAGGUCUUGGUUCUUCCAAUUGUUCUCAGCAUGACUGUCCUUGUAGCACUCCUCUGCCUGUUGUUAUAUCACACUCUGUACAGAAGGAGGGCCUUGAAGAGAUCCCUGGAAAGCUCCUUGAGUGUGUCCGGUGCGCCAAUGAAUUUCAGUUACCGCAAUUUGCAGUCCAGAACCGGCAAUUUUUCGCAGUUGCUCGGCACAGGUCAGCAUGUACAUAUACAUAUACUUUGAAAGGGAUGAAAUUGUUUGAACAAAGCCAGUUGGACUUGAUCAAUUUGGAUUAAUGUUGUCUUCUCUUUUUUUCAGGAGGGUUUGGGAGUGUAUACAAGGGAAGCCUUUCAGAUGAGGCAUUGGUUGCAGUGAAGAAGCUUGACAAGGUUUUGUCUCAUGGGGAGAAGGAAUUCAUAACUGAAGUGAACACCAUUGGCUCUAUGCAUCACAUGAACCUGGUUCGCCUAUGUGGCUACUGCUCGGAAGGCUCUCACCGGUAUGCAUUUCAUUUCAUCGCCUAAAACCAAUUACCACUAACCAUAAUUAAAUUCUUGUCAUCCUCUUUUGUGGUCAAGCAUACUAUAUUUUCGAGCUUAUAAUGGGGUUGGAAUUUGAUGAUUCUUCACAGGCUUCUGGUUUAUGAGUUCAUGAAAAAUGGUUCCUUGGACAAGUGGAUAUUCCCCUCAAAGCAUUGCCGGGACAGACUGCUAGAUUGGGGAACUCGUUUCCAUAUAGCCAUUGCUACUGCACAAGGGAUUGCUUAUUUUCAUGAGCAGUGCAGGAAUCGGAUAAUCCACUGCGAUAUCAAGCCUGAAAACAUACUUCUAGAUGAGAAUUUCUGUCCAAAAGUUUCAGACUUUGGACUAGCAAAGCUGAUGGGCAGAGAGCAUUCACAUGUUGUCACUAUGGUGAGAGGAACUAGGGGCUAUCUGGCUCCAGAAUGGGUUAGCAACCGGCCUAUUACUGUAAAAGCCGAUGUCUACAGUUACGGAAUGCUUCUCCUGGAGAUUGUUGGUGGCCGGAGAAACCUUGACAUGACCUUUGAUGCAGAAGACUUCUUCUAUCCUGGGUGGGCUUUUAAGGUAUAGAUCAAUCAAGUUCUUGCUUCUGUAAAUCACAAAUUGUUAAGUGUUUGAUAUUUUAUUAACGAAAAUGCCAAUUCCUCUAGGAAAUGAGUAAUGGGACGACAAGAAAAGUUGCAGACAGGCGACUGGAAGGGGCAGUGGAGGAAGAGGAGCUAGAAAGAGCAUUGAAAACUGGCUUUUGGUGCAUUCAAGAUGAGGUUUUCAUGAGGCCUUCAAUGGGGGAAGUGGUGAAGAUGUUGGAAGGAUCACUUGAAAUCAACACACCGCCAAUGCCACAGACAGUUCUGGAGCUCAUGGAGGAGGGCUUAGACAAUGUAUACAGAGCCAUGAAGAGAGAGUUCAACCAGUCCAGCUUCUUCACCAUCAAUAAUAGUACCCAUCCUUCAUCAAGGGCUACAUGUAGUUAUUCCACAAUGUCACCUAGAUAGCAAAGGAGAAAUGGAACAAAUUUUGUUGUUGUCCCGGAAUUUUAUCACCUUGAUAGAUACUGUCCAGAAACAUAAUUCUUAUUGAUCAAUUGUUACCAUACAUACUAAUGGGCAAUGAAAUUAGUAGAGAACUUUGCAUAGGUUGAGGUACGAAAAUCUCGGUCUUUUAAAGGAGAUUUAAGCCAUUUCUGGUUUGACAAUUUGAGAAAUUGGUGUAUUUGACUUCUCUUUGAUUUGUCCCCACAAGGAUACGAUAGUCGGCCAAGUGAUUUGUUGCAUAGCUCACAUCAAUAUGCAUAAAGCAUAGAACUUAAGGCUUCACAAAGAAAAAAAAAAAAAAGAAGAAGAAAGGAAGAAGAUAACUAAAAAAAGUCUAAAAAACAUGACAUUAGGAGGAUGAGUCAAAAGACUCAUCAUAAAGUUUAAAAUCUUCAACAAUUUUGAAAGAAUUCAAUCUAGCUCUUUAAUUUUUAUAAGCUAAAUCCCAUUGACAUAAAUGAUAUUUAAUACUUCUCAAUUCCCAUAAUUGUAACUACAAAUUCAAUAAUCCAUUAUGCCAACUUUAAUCCCCUUAACUUUCAUAUAUAACCAUAAUGUUGGUAGCUAGUUUACAUUGAUAACUUUGUUCCAAACUUGUUGGAUCUAACUCUAAUAUUUAAUUACUUCAUGUGACUUACAUUGGACUUGAAAACUUGAAAUUUUUAUCAAUUCCUCCUUAAGGUCAUUCUGGUAACUAUGAUUAAGUUUGUUCGGGUGAAUAAUGACAUCAAAAGGUAUAUGCUGGUUUUUAUUAGAUGAUGUGAAAAUAAUAGGGAAAAAAAGAAAAAAAGAAUCGGAUUUUGAUGAGCAAUCAAGUGAUCCUUAUGAGUGCUUAAGUGCCCAUAACGACUUUACAUAAUUUUUUACUAAUUUUCUUAUUCCAUUUUUUCAUGAUAUUUUUCCGCUACGAUUUUUAAGAUUAUGAUUACACCUUAUGUUAUUGAUUUGAUAUAUGUUUUUUAGAGCUAUAUGCUAUUAUUCUCUAAGAGCCCCAUCGUGGAUUAAGUUUAGUUUGUGGUGAUUUCUUUCAUUAAGGAAUACUCUCUCUCUCUCUCUAAUUGGGAAAUAUCAUCGAUAUGUUGGUGGACAUUGAAGUGAAAUAUAGGAUAGUUUGUGGUGAUUUCUUUCAUUAAGGAAUACUCUCUCUCUCUCUAAUUGGGAAACAUCAUUGAUAUGUUGGUGGACAUUGAAGUGACAUAAGGGGAGAUGGAUAGAUAUUGAAGUGACAUAUAGGGGAGAUAUAUCCAUCUACUGAAGUUUCGGUUAUUUUUUAAAAAUUUGAUAUUUUUGCCAUUCACAUAUUUAAGAGAAUAAAAUAUAAAAGAGUUAAAUAUCUUAUUCCUCGUAAAAUUGAAAUUUCAACUUUUGAAAUGUCAAAUUACAAAAUUAUAAAACACAUUAAAUUUUGAUAUGCCUUAGAAAAAAAACAUAUUUAAUUCAUUUUUUUUUAAUUUUCUUUGUUAUCUUAUUAAUUAAGUUAGCAAAUUACAUUAAAAAUCAAAUAACAAUGGAUCAAUUAAAAGAUAUAACACUAUGUUCGGUUGUCUAAGAUUUGAAAGUAAUGACAACAAAAAGAAAACAAAGAAAAAAAUAAAAAUAAAAAUAAAAAAAAUAAAAAAAUAUUUAAAAUUAAUAAAUUAUUUUUACAUCUUAAUAAAUUAUUUUUACAUAAUUCUUUAUUCAUUCCACUUAUUUAUACUCUUUUAUAUAAAAAUUAAAUAAUUUUAAAAAUAUAUAAAAUUUUAAUUAAUUUUAAUUAUAUUUGAUUUUUCUUUACACUUUUUUAGAGUUAAUUUUGUUCACCUUCUAGAGCUUUGGGUUAAAUAUAUUUAGUCACCUUGAGUUUAAAAUUUUAUCAAAUAUCUUUCUUCCUUUUUUUUUGAGUUAGAGGUAGGGGCAUAACUUGAGCGGAUAGGCCCUACUCAACCUGAUGUUUGAAUAGCUUGAACAAUUAUUUUCAAUACUUGAGUUGUGAUAGAUUAAAUAUUUUCAAUUCGAGCUCAAUUUGGACGACUAAAGAUUCAAACAACUCAAACCUAAUCCAAAUUGGAUUUAAUAUUUUUAUAAUAUUUAUAAUAUAAAAUAUCAAAUAUUAUUAUUACAUAUCAUAUCUUGAAAUUUUGUUCUAUUAAUUAUUUAAAUUUUGACAUAAAUAUAUGAGUUUAUUAUACUUUACCCCUAUAACCUAUAACUUGUUUUACACAUUGUUCCAUCAAGUUCAAAAUUGAGUAAUGUACCUUCCAUAUUUAAUAACUGUACGUAAUGUGCAUUUUUUUUAAAGACAACUUUAUUUUUUGGACGGAAAGGUACGUGCUCUCCGCGUGAUUGAGGGUAAAAGUGUCUUUUUUCCUUUGCAACUCCCUCUCUCGAUCAUUACUCCCCUUUGGAACCCCAAAUUGUAGCCCGCUUCUUCCUGACCCGUUCUUCUUUCCUUCCUUCAAAGCCUUAGAAUGUGAAUCCCAAAAAGUUGCUACUGAAGCCCUAGAAAAUUUCUCAUGUUUGUAGGGUGGAAAUGUUUCUCCAAAUUUCCCUAAAAAAUUGCCCAAAAAUUUCCCCAGUUUUUUGAAACACAAAAACAAAACCCCAACCCUAAACUAGAAGCAUAACAAAAAAAAUUUAAACCCUAACAUAAAAACCCUAGCCCUCAAUUGGCCCUAGUUUUAUUCAACCAUAAAUCCCCCAAAUUUCCCCUGAAAAUUGCCUUUAAAUUUCUACAAAAUUUCCCCCAAAAUUCUCCUAGUUUUCUUAAACAUGAAAAUGAAACCCUAACCUUGAACUAAAAUCAUAACAUAAAAAUUUAAACCCUAACAUGAAAACCCUAACCCUCAAUUUGCCUGAGUUUUAUUCUUCCAUAAUUUCCACAAAAUUUCCCCAAAUUUUCUGAAAGAUCCAAACGAAACCCUAACCCUAAAGAAAUUGGAAGACAAAAAAUACCUUUGAACUUUCAUGUCUCUCUUCAAUGUCAGCCCUGCAUUAGCUUCUUUGGGAUUCUAGGGCUUCAGCUUUGAGUUUCACUAAUAGCUACAGAGGAGGAACAGUACAUGCUGGAGAAGAUGAGGGUUUUAAAAUAACAAUGACCCUUUUGCCCUUGCUUUAUGGGAACGAAGACAAUUUUGCCCUCAGUCACGUGGAGAGUACAUGUCUUUCUGUCCAAAAAAAAUAAUGUCGUAUUUAAAAAAAUACACAUUUUAUGCAAUUAUAAAGAAUUAAGGGUACAUUAUUCGAUUUUGUACUUAAGGGGGCAAUGUGUAAAAUAUGCUUUAAAUUGAGGGGUAAAGUGUAAUUAACUUUAAAUAUAUAGAAAAAAUAUUUUUUUGAAAAACAUUAUUUGGGUAAAUUUUGAAUUAUGCAAUCGAUUAUUUUCUCUUGAAUAACCUCAUGAAUCCGAACUCAAUCUAAUUUUUUUUUAUCCUACUUUAGAUAUAUAUAACUCAUUUGUCUUGUCUCGGUCACUUCGUCCCAAUCACAUUCAUAAAUUUUCUCGGGAAACUUGUGUUUGAGGCUGGUAAUAUUAAAAUAGUAUGAGAUUGGAAACCCAACUUUUGAUUUUUUAAUAUAAUUAUUCUAAUCCUAAAAAUAAUAUAGGGUUCAUGCACUUUUAGCUGAACUAUUUUUUAAUAUCCAAUAUGCCCUCUUCUUUCUGCCAGGUCAACCUCCACAUGUGAAAAAAAAAAGAGGUCUUCUUCCAUCUCCAGCAUCACCUGUGAAAAAAAAAGGGUCUUAUUCCAUCUCCAGUAUCACCUCCACUAGAUGACCAUAACUCCUCCCAAACUUCUUCACCUCCAUUUGCAGACUGUCCACUAUCGGGUCAACUUGUUUCAUCUCAAUCAUCGCCGCGGCUCAUCACCAGCGACGACCGAGGGAACCUCGACUCUAUGUACCGCAUCAACAUCUCCCCCGAUCCCGAAACUGUGUCAGAGCCACACUGCAGAACCAACAUAUCGGGUUUGAGAAUCGGCGUCUCGGCCGACACCAUACAGAUGGAUACGCAUUUGUGGUGUAGGGCGAACCGGAUGUAGGAGGUGAGAGGAACCGCUGGAGAUAAACGACACCAAAAUUCCUUUCCCAUCUUCCACUCCCUGGUUGUAGGUCUCAUCAUAGGAAACAAACGGCUGAGACUUAGUAAAUUGGGAGAGGAAGCAUGCUAGUUGUAGGUGUGAGAAGUUGCGGGAGAGUCAUGGACGAAGGUGGGGGGAGAGAGAGAGAGAGAGACUUGAAGAGGUUAGGUUUUCUUUUUGGGAUUUGGGUUUCAAAAGGGAGCAGAGCAGAUGGAAAAUUUUAGGCAAAACGUUUUAUGUUUUCUCGGUUUUUUGAUUUUUUGGUUUUUUUUUUAAAAAAAAAAUAAGUGGAGGUUGACGUGGUAGAGAAGAGAGGCAUAUUAGGUAUUAAAAAUCAGCUCAGCCCAAAGGGCAUGGAACCCAAAAUAUUUUGGGUUCAAUAUUGAAAAAUUAAAAAUGGUAAAAAUGAGUUUUGGUUUUCAUAAUAUUUAGAUAUCACCAUCCCAAAACCUAACUUUUCCAAUUUUCUCUUUCGUGCUUGCCGUGAAAGUCACUUGCUCCGCAAUUUACGCAAAGACUCUAUUACCAUUGACUUUAUUACAAUUUCUACAAGAAAAAUCGAACUUCAAGACUAAGCAAAUAUCCUAGGAAUCAAGCUGGAAGCUACAAUGCUGUUUCAGGGAAGCAUAUGAUAUACAAAUACAACCCUUAUAUGUUACAGCUUCGGUACUGACCAGGAGACUGUAAGUACUGGCCAUGGAUGCAGAAGAAGAAAGGCUAAGUAAAACCCAUAUCCAUGGCCAAUUGGUAGAGAUAAACCACAAUCAGGAGAAACGAAUACGCCACGAAGAAACAAAGGCGCAGAAUCUGACAACUGGGUUUGCGGUCGUCCAAGCUUUAAUUCUCAACACAGGGGUGAUCAAUAAGCCAUCUAACAGAUGCGAACACUGGUGGGUGCCAUUCUCUCUCUCCUUAUCAGUCGGUGUGAUUUAUUUCAUCACCAUUUUUGAGGUGUUGAGGAAAUGGUACCUUCUGCUCUACCAUUUGGACGUCAACUACCUGGAGCAAGAACUUAUUCUACUGGAAAUGCAUGGGGGUGCUCCGUCCUGGCGAAAUGAUCAGCCAUUGAAGCCAGAUGUGGUGAAGCUCCUGAGGCGUAAAGCUUAUAUCACGAUACUGAUUUCUGCUAUGCUCGCCUUUCAAGCUCUGAUGCUCCACGCCUGCAGAUCCUUUCUUUGCAGCUGAAAGUAACCAUCUUCCCCUUUAAAUAAAUACUAGAAUAAAAAAAAAUUGUUGUUUAUUAUGCCAAAUUUCUCGAUGCCUUUGAAGAGUGUCAUGGGAAAUGCUAUUAAGAUGCAAACUACAUAAUUCAAAAUGCAUUAUAUGGAACGAAAUUAUUUACCAUGAAAUUUAUUUAUAUUGUUUUUCUUUCUAAAGUAUUCAAAAUGCAUGAUAUGCAAUAGAAAAUUUUGAGGGAAAAUAUCACAGAAAGAAAAUAGAGAGAAAAAAUAGAAUAAAAAAAUAUGAAAAAAAAAUAAAAAAAUAUAUUUAAAGUCAAUAAAUUAUUUUUAUAUCUUAUUUUAAACUUAUUUUACUUAUUUUAACUCAUCAAUAUAAAGGUUAAAUAAUUUUAAAAUAUAUAAAAUUUUAAUUAAUUUAAAUUAUAUUUGAUUUUAUUUGACAUUUUUCAUGAUACAAUCAUGAGAAACUCGUUUUCUUAAACAUUUUUCUUUUCUUUUUUCAGUAGUUUUUGGCAACCAAACAUUACCUAAAAUUUUGUUAGUGCAUCUCCUUAGGUGUUUGUGCUCACAUAUUGGGCCCAAGAAUGGGUUCCUGCAACUACCAUCAAUGGGCCGGGCUGCCCAAUCAAUAACAAAAGGGCACUCACCUGGGUCUCAUGGGCCGAGAAAAAUGGAGCCCAUACACAACAGUUUUGAACCCAAACAUAAAUUUCAAGUUCAUAUAUACUUUUAAUCUCGUUUAUUCAUUCAUAUUAGAAAUCUAGAUUUAUAUUAAUUCAUUCAUGUAGAUCUAUAUAUUAGGAAUCAAAUUAGAGUGCAUAGAAACCAAAAUUAAGAGAGAGGAUUAUACCCAGGGAAGUUUUGUGUGAUACGUUGAACUGAAAGUGAUAAAAACUAAGACUAUGUUUAAUUCCCAAAAAGCAAUAAGGAAAGAAAAAAAAAUAUGAAGGAAAAUUAUUUUCUUGUAUUUUAUUUUUUUAUGAAAAACUUGAAAGGAAAUAAAAUAUAAUUAAAAAUUUAUUAUAUAUUUUUAAAUUAUUAAUUUCCAUAUAAAAGGGGAACAAAAUGUCAAUGAAUUUGAAAUAACAAAUAAAAAUGAUUUAUAAGUUUUAAAUCCAUUUUUUUUAUUUUCCUUAAUAUUUUCCUUCUUCUACUUUUUCUUUCUAUUUUCUUUUUCUCACAUUUUCUCUUAGAUUUUCUAAGAACCAAACAUAAUAUAAAAAAACAAAUAAUAUAUAAAAAAACCCAAAUAAUUUGACAUGUGGUAUAUUGUUGCUAGUCAAAGUAAUGGUUGUGGGUGACUUUUAGAAGCCUCCAAUAAGAAAUGGCCAAAAAACCUAUGAGCUUGGCAUUUAUUUGAGUAUCUCGGGGACAAUAUUUUAUUUUUAAUUAUGUGUUUUAAUUCAUUGUUUUUUUUUCUUUAAUAUUAUUUUAGAAAUAUGUUUAGAGAUAUGUUAAUUUUAGUGCUUAUAGUAAUAUAAAGAUUUUGAUAAUUAAAAAUUUGUUUAAAAAUGAUUUUAGGAAGCAUUUAACCUAUUUAAUCUUUAAAUUUUUUAUAAAAGAAUUGUUUUCAAGUGCUAAAAAGAUUAGAGACAUUUUAUAAAAUUACUAUUAAAUAAAUUCUAAAUAUAAUCGAGUCGUGUGACUAUAAAUUGCUAGACUUUUCCAUGUGAUUAAUCCUUGGAUACUUGGAAUUUGUUUAUGUGGGGUAGAGCUUUUGUGAGUUUGUUUGCAAUUUUCUCAUACUAGAAACAAAUGAAUGGUCAGAGAAAGGAACAUAGAAAAGAGAAGAUUGAAACACCUUCACCUGCUCCGAAGGUUCGUAUGAUCUUCAUGCCAGCCUCCAUGCCUCAUUUUCCCGCUUAUAAAAAAAAGGCCACAAAAGACUAGACUGAUCUGAUAAAGCAGGGCCGGAAAAGCGAGCUCGACACGAAGAAACGAAAGCCGGCCAAUGCAGUCCGAGAGAUCACACAGCGAACUGUUCGAGUCUGGGCUUUUGUUUCUUCGUGUCGGUCUUGCUUCUGUCUCCGGCCGGAGGAACAAAAUUGUACAGACAUGGAUGGGAAGAACUCCUGUAAUAUCAAGAGUCCUUCUAUCUUUGGAUUGUUAUAAUAAUAUUAUCUUCAAAACAAAAUUUAUGCAAGUGGGGGUAUAUUUUUUAUUUUUUGUUUUUGAAAAUAGGAAGUUUUAUACAAAAUAUAAAAAAAUCUUAUAUGAAAGAUAGGUAUAAUCUUGUUAUGUUAUUUGAAAACAUUUUUUAAAAUUGACAGAAGUAAAAAAAUUUCAAUUCCAUAAAUUUUUAAAUUUUGAAAAAGUCUUUAAGAAGGGUAGGUAAGAGGAUGCUUGUUAAUGGUUAGAAAAUAGUUUUAUAUGUUUUAGAACAAAAGAAUAAUAAAAAAAAACAUGCUUAGUGAUUAGAAAACAGUUUAUACUCUUAAAAAACAAAAAAUCGGAGUGUUUUUAGAUAAUAUCUUUUAAUUUUUAAAAUUAUUUUUAUUUAUUGAAAAAUAAUCAUACAAAAUGCAGAAUGAUUAUGAGUAAAGUAUUACAUGUGAAACUUAUUUUUAAAAAAUAUUUAAAAACAUAAAAAAAAAAGUUAAUAACAGUUCAAGUUUCCAAACAAACUAUUAUUUUACAAAAUAUUAAAUAACAAUUUUAAAAAAUAGUUUUAAAAAAUACUUUUCGAACACAAUUUAAAUUUUUUUCUUUUUGCAUAAAAAUUCUUAUAUUUUGUAUAAGAGUUUUUAUUUUUAAAAAUAAAAAAAUAAGAAAUAUAUUCAAAGAUAUUUAAUAAACAAUAAAAUUCAAAAGAGAAAGCCUUAAAUUUUAUGUUAUUAUUGUAAAAUGAGAAUAAAUGUGACUCAAAUAAUAGUAGGGAUGACUAUGUAUUAUUUUAAUAAUAUAUAUAUAGAGGGGCGGGGGGAAGAAAUCAAAGAAAAGUGUUGAGAGAAUGAAAGAAAGAGAGAGAGAAUGAGAGGAAGAAAAUUUCUUCUUUUUCUCGGAAUGCUCUUACAUGGGGUGUAAGAACCCUUUUAUAGGAUUCAUAAGAUGAACUCCCAUUACUCAUCUUAAAGAUGAGUAAAUGGAGUUCAUAAAUGACCAUCAAUGUGGUCAUUCAUCACUUCAUUUACAACAUUUCCCCUUGGAUGACCACCAUAUUAAAAGAAUAUGUUUCAUUAAAACCUUGUUAGUAAAAAUUUUUAUAGGAAAAACCUAGUGAAGGAAAAAGAGUACAAUAUUCUUUUCUUGGUAUAUUAGGACUACCUCGUUAAAAACCUUGCCAGUAAAACCCAGUAGGACAAAACCUGGACGAAGGAAAAAAGAGUACAGUACACUAACACCCUUUUACAAGCAUACUCCCCCUCAUGUCAAUAUCCUUGAGUUGACGCAUUCCAAUCAUGUAUAUUAAUUUCUUGAAUGUUGAGGUUGACAAUGAUUUUGUGAAUAAAUCUGUUAGAUUAUCACUUGAGCGUAUUUGUUGCACAUCAUUUUCACCACUCUUCUAGAGUUCAUGUGUAUAAAAGAAUUUUGGUGAAAUGUGUUUAGUUCUAUCUCUUUUAAUAUAACCCCCUGUUAUUUGUGUAAUGCAUGUAGCAUUAUCUUCAAAUAAUAUUGUCGGGUCACCUUUGAUAGAGGAGAGUCCACAUGAUUCCCGAAUAUGUUGGAUCAUAGAUCUUAGCCUUAUACAUUCAUGACUUGCUUCAUGAAUUGCUAGUAUUUCUGAAUGAUUUGAUGAUGUGGCCACCAUUGUUUGUUUGACAUAUCUCCAUGAAAUAGCAGUACCAUUGCAAUUAAACACAUACCCUGUUUGUGACCUACCUUUAUGUGGAUCUGAAAGAUAUCCUGCAUCUGCAUAUCCAAGCAAUUGUUGCUUUGAUUCCGUUGAGUAAAAUAAACCCAUAUCAGUAGUUCCGCAAAGAUAACAUAAUAUAUGUUUGAUACCAUUCCAAUGUCUUCGAGUUGGAGUGGAAUUGUAUCUUGCUAAUAAAUUGACAGAAAAAGCAAUGUCUGGAUGUGUACAAUUGGCAAGAUACAUAAGUGCACCAAUAGCACUAAGAUAUGGUAUUUCAGGACCAAGUAACUCUUUUUUUUUUUUUCGCAAGGACGAAAUGAGUCAUUUUUCACAUCAAGUGAUUGGACAACCAUUGAAGAACUUAAAGGAUGCGCUUUAUCCAUAUAAAAACGCUUCAAAACUUUGUUAACGUAUGUUGAUUGAUGUACUAAAACUCCAUUUGGAAAAUGCUCGAUCUGCAGGCCGAGAUAAAAUUUUGUUUUUCCAAGAUCUUUCAUCUCAAAUUCCUUUUUCAAGUAAUUUGUUGUUCUUGUGAGCUCUUAAGAAGUUCCAACAAGAUUUAAGUCAUCGACAUACACUGUAAUAAUUGCAAAUCCGGUUUCUGAUUUCUUAAUGAAGAUGCAUGGGCAUGUAGGGUUAUUCACGUAUCCUUCUUUUAGCAAAUAUUCGCUAAGACGAUUGUACCAUAUGCGUCCAGAUUGCUUUAAUCCAUACAAUGAUCGUUGUAACUUGAUUGAGUACAUGCUACGAGACUUUAUACUAUUUUCUCCAGGCAAUUUAAAUCCUUUAGGGAUUUUCAUGUAUAUAUCAUUAUUCAUGGAUUCGUAUAAAUAUGUUGUAAUAACAUCCAUGAGAUGCAUAUCCAAUCCUUCUGAGACUACCAAAUUGAUUAAGAAACAAAAUGUGAUUGCAUCCAUGACGAGAUAAUAUGUUUCUUCGUAGUCAAUACCAGGUCUUUGCGAGAAACCUUGUGCUACUAAUCGCGCUUUAUAUCUUAUGAUCUCAUUAUUCUCAUUGCGCUUUCGUACAAAUACCCAUUUGUACCCAACAGGCUUUACAUCUUCAGGUGUUUAGACUACAGGUCCAAAAACUUCUUGUUUUGUUAAUGAGUUUAACUCUGCUUGUAUAGCUUCAUUCAGUUUUAGCCAAUCAUUUCUAUGUCAACAUUCUUCCACAUUUCGUAGUUCGGGAUUUUCAUCAUUUCUUUUGACUUUAGAGGCCACUUGGAAAGCAAAAAUAUUGUUAAUAACAAUAUUAUUUAAAUCCAUUUUUUCUCCCGUGUGUACAUAACUUACUGAGAUAUCACAAUUUUUAGGUACCUGUGCCUCUUCAAGGGCUUCUCGUUCAAUAUGUGCCUCUUCAAAGGCUUUUUGCAUUAUUUAUGCCUCUUCUAGGGCUAUAGAUUUAUCAAUUUUAAAUUGAUCAGUCAUUUUGAUGGCCUCUUCUAGAGUGCCAAGUUUUUCUUCGGUUCUCAUUUUCUAGGAAGUUACAUCAUUUGAGCCGACAAGUUUACCACGCUUCAGGCAUAUCUUAAAUUCAUUUGUUAACUGUCCUAUAGGGACAUCAAUCCGUGCUGGAGUAUUUGUAGUCGGGAUAUGUUACUUUGUCACUUUCUUUGUAUUAAUGAAUGCAUCUGGUAAUUGAUUUGCAAGAUUUUGCAAAUGAAUGAUCCUUUGGAAGAUGGGUCAUAGUAGAUGCCUUCCAACUAAUUUCUCAUGGUUCUUCAGGAAUCGACUUUUCUCCCCUUAAUGAUGGGAAAACACUCUCAUUAAAAUGACAAUCCGCAAAGCGGGCAGUAAAAACAUCACCUGUCAAAGGUUCAAGAUAUCUUAUGAUAGACGGAGAAUCAAAACCUACAUAAAUCCUAAGUCUUCGUUGGAAAUCCAUUUUAGUGCGUUGUGUAGGUGCAAUUGGUACAUAUACUGCACAACCAAAGAUUUGUAAGUGAGAGAUAUUUGGUUGUUUUCCAAGCACAAGUUGUGAAGGGGAAUAUUCAUGGUAAGUUGUAGGUUGAAUAUGGACUAAAGCUACAACAUGCAUAAUAACAUGUCCCUAGGUAGAAGUAGGUAAUUUGGUUUUCAUUAGUAAUGGUCGAGCUAUUAAUUGGAGACGUUUGAUGAAGGAUUCUGCUAAGCCAUUUUGGGUAUGAGUAUGAGCAACAAGAUGCUCAAUAUUUAUCCCUACUGACAUGCAAUAGUCAAUGAAUGUUUGAGAAGUAAAUUCUCCAGCAUUAUUAAGACGUAUUGUCUUAAUUGGAUAAUAUGAAAAUUGUGCUCGUAAUAUGAUUAUUUGUGCAAGGAGUCUAGCAAAGGCAACGUUACGUGUAGAAAGGAGACAAACAUGUGACCACCUAGUAGAAACAUCUAUUAAGAUCAUAAAAUAACGGAAUGGUCCACAUGGUGGAUGGAUAGGCCCACAUAUGUCCCUAUGUAUUUUUUCUAAAAAGACUGGUGACUCAGAUAUAACUUUAGUAAAAGAUGGUCUGAUUAUCAAUUUACCUUAUGAGCAGGCAACACAUGAGUAUUCAUUGGGUGAAAGAAUCUUCUAGUUCUAUAGUGGAUGUCAAUGUGAGUGUUCGAUUAUUCGACACAUCAUUGCAGACCCUGGGUGACCUAGCCUGUCAUGCUAAAGUACAAAAACUUUUGGGUCGUUGAACUUCUGGUUCACGACAACAUAUGAUUCAAUAGGCUUUAUAGUUGUAUGAUACAACCCAGAGGAGAAAGUCGGGAGUUUUUCCAUUAUAAGCUUCUGACCAGAUAUAAUGGAAGUAAUGUAAAGAUGUUCUAUAUUAUCUUCAUUCAUAGUUUCAAUAUGAUAUCCAUUUCUGCGGAUAUCUUUAAAACUAAGCAAAUUUAUUCUGGAUUUGCUAGAAUAUAAAGCAUCAUUUAUAUGAAAUCUAGUUCCAUUUGGCAACGUUAUGUUUGCUCUUCUAGAACCUUCAACUAAGUUUGUAGUACUAGAUAUGGUACUUACAUUAGCUUUUAUUAAUGUCAAUUCAAGGAAAUAUCUUUUAUCUCGAAGAAUUGUGUGCUUGGUCGCACAGUCUACGAGACACACAUCAUCCUCAUUCAUCUUGAGACCAAAUAACACAUGGAUUUCAGAUAUAACAAAAUAAAACAAGGCAUAAUGUAAAUAACAAAGUAAAUCAGAUGUAAAUAUAAGACAUAAUAAUAUAUUAUUUCAUAUAUAAAGUAACAUCAAUUAAUGUUAAUUUUCUCAUCAUUUAUCAAAUGGUCUAUUUUUUCAUUGGGACCUUCAAAGAAAUCAAUGUCAUAGUAGGUUAGGUCCAAUCCAUCACCAUCAGUAAAGUUCAUCUUUAUCUCUUUUCCUUUUGCUUUUAUUGAUGCUUGGUAAAGGUCGACUAAAUGUUUGGGCGUACGACAGGUAUGCGACCAAUGCCCCUUCAUACCACAUCUAUAACAAUUAUUCUCGUGGUUCUUAGGAGGUUUAUCUUGUAAAUGCUUCCCAUUUUCUUGUAUUGUCUCAGUAUUGUUCCAUUUCUGGUGGUGCAACGAGGCUUUCAUUUUCUGAGAAUUAUUACUAUAAGAACCAUGGUAUCGGGGAUUUUUUCCACGAUCAUGACCACGUCCAUGAAUUUGGACGAUAUUGCAUUCACUUUAAGGAAUGGUUCAGAUCCAGUUGGACGAGAUUGAUGAUUUCUCAUUAAAAGCUCAUUAUUUUGUUUAGUAACAAGAAGACAUGAUAUUAAUUCAGAAUAUUUUGUAAAUCUACACUUUCUAUAUUGCUGUUGCAGGAGCACAUUCGAGGCAUGAAACGUAGUAAAAGUUUUCUCUAACAUGUCUUCUUCUAUGAUUUUUUCUCCAUGUAGCUUUAAUUGAGAGCUGAUUUUGAAAAGUGCGGAGUUGUAUUCACUAAUAGUUUUAAAAUCUUGCGACCUUAGGUGCAUCCAAUCAUAUCAAGCUUUUGGGAGAAUCACAGUUUUCUGGUGGUCAUAUCUUUCCUUCAAAUUACUCCAUAGAGUAAAAAAGUCCUUUACCGUAAAAUACUCAUUUUUUAAACCUUCAUGGAGGUGAUGACGAAGGAAAAUCAAUGCUUUUGCGCGAUCCUGCAGGGAUGCUUGAUUUCCUUCUUUGAUUGUAGCUCCAAGGUUUAUUGCAUCAAGAUGUAAUUCAACAUCAAGGAUCCAAGAUAGAUAAUUCUUUCCCGAAAUGUCAAGUGCCACAAAUUUGAGUUUUGUGAUAUUCGACAUUGUCAAAUAACUUCAUAUAUAUGACAAAACAAUAUUAUUAGAAUCAAUUAUAAUAACUUAAUAGCAUUGGUAUAACUUUGAUUAUAAACAAAAUCAAAUAAUUUGUUUAUAAUUUUUAACAAUAUGUAACAAAACAAAUCAACAAUAAUAUAAAUAUGUAAAAUUUUAUCCUAUAUAAAUAACUUCAAGUUUAAGAUACGAGAAUUACCUUCAGAACAAUUCGUGCUAAUAAUGUGUUGUAAAAAGAGAAUAAAUGUGACUCAGAUAAUAGUAGGGAUGACUAUGUAUUACUUUAAUAAUAUAUAUAUAUAUAUAAAGGGGGAGGGGGGGAAGAAAUCAAAGAGAAGUGUUGAGAGAAUGAAAGAAAGAGAGAGAGAGAGAGAAUGAGAGGAAGAGAAUUUUUUUUUUCUCGAGAUGCUCUUACAUGGGGUGUAAGAAGCCUUUUAUAGGCUUUAUAAUAUAAACUCCCAUUACUCAUUUUAAAGAUGAGUAAAUGGAGUUCAUAAAUGACCAUCAAUGUGGUCAUUCAUCACUUCAUUUACAACAGUUAUUAAUUUGUUGUAUUACUUAGAGGGGGUGAAUGAAUUGAAAGCACUAUGGAGGUAAGCUUUUUAGUUUUUUCACCUUAUCCUCUUUAUACAUAAUGUCUCCAUCAAUGAUGUUCAGUAUAUUCCUUAUUUUUGUUUUACUUAAGUGUUCUUGUAUUGUAGCCCUCUCAAGACUCUUCCUCUUCACUCCAAACAAGUUAAUUGUCUUCAUAUCAAAGUAACAUAAGUUGAUUUUCUUAUAGGGCUAAUGCUACUUAUGUGAUUAUUUUCUUUACAAAAGUUGCAAAUAAUAUUUGAGGAUUCCUUGACAAAAUAAUUUUUAAAUUUUUAUUUUUUUAUUUUUUUUAUUUUUAUAGAGCUUGUAUCCUAAUCCCUUUAUUGCAAAGAUUAUUUUUUUACUUGCCAAAAUUAUCAAAAUUCUUGUCCCCAUUUGAGAAUUUUGAAAGAGAAGAGAUUAACUAAUGAAUUUUCUUUUCAAGUAAGUAUAUAUUUUAUUCCAAGGAAAACCUUAGCCUUUUUUAGAUAUUUUAAACUCCCCUUUUAAGUCAUUAAUUUCAACUUGAAGAGAGAUGAUUUUCUUUUUAAGAUAAGCCUGAAAGUUAUUUGAUCUAGUUUAGGUAACACCUAGAGGAGUUGAAUGGUGUUUAAACUUUUCUGCUCAAAAAUGAAUUAUUUUAUAUUCAUAUAACAAACAUUUUUUCAAUUUAGGAAAGCCUAAAAACACUCAAUACAAAAACAUAAGAUUUUUAUAUGGAAAACCACCCAUAUCAUGUGCGGAUGUAAAAACGACAAGGUCAGACUUUUAAUCAUUAAUAAACUAUUUGAAAGUAUUAUACAUGGUUUUAGUUGGUGGAAGCUAUCGUUAAGUCUUACUACCCAACACCUACAAUGCACUUCACAUUUGCGAUAUAGCACUACGUGUGCUCUUAGUGGAUCUAACCUCAGUGUUUGAGAGGAUGUAGAUCUCCUUUUCAAUCCAACAUAAGCGAAAACAACAUUCCUUGAGAGUUUUAGGAAUAAGAUGACGAAUUUGGUUUUUCAAAAAAUUUGCAUCAAACCAAAAACCUUUUUAGGUAAAACAUUUAUAGGCAUAAGAAGCUGGCAGACUGGAUCUAAAAUUUUCCAAAAUAAGACCUUAAAAAAAAUUAGAAAAUCAAAGUUCCAAAAAUUUUGGAGAAUUCUAUCAUGGGUGUUUGAGUGCUCAUGGGAGCACUUGAGUGCUUAAGGAGAUUUUUUAAACUUUUUAAAAAUUCUUUUAGCUUGGUUUUAAAACCAUUAGUUCGCACCAUGCCUUAACAAACACCAAUUUGUCAUUCUUGAACCUUUUGAUUUUUACUUGUGCCAUCCUGAUUGAUCACAUAACAACUUUGAGUCUUCAAUGAAGAGUAAAACACAAUUUAGAAAGAUUCUAAACUAGAAUGAAAGGAAUUAUAUAGCCUAAUAUACCAACAAUCUUCUCCUAUGAUAAUUUUAUGAAAAAAAAUACAAAUUACAUAAACCCCCUAAUACUCUUCAAUGGAGUUUAAGAAUCUCUCAAUAACUCUCGUCUAAACCAAAUCAUUCUUGAACAUGCAGAUGAUGAUAAAUCACAUCUAAAAGUGGGCAAUACCCCACUACUUGUGACCUGCACACACAAACCAACCAAGUACUCAAGUAAAACAAUGUGUGAGAGAAAACACAACUCAUAAAUUCUAUCAAAUCAAGGUAAGAGUAGAUGGAUGUGAGUCAUGCAUACAAUGGAUAUCUAAUCAAUAGUAUCAAUAAAUUGUCUCCCCAUUUUUGUCGCAAAAAUGACAAAGAAGGAAUAAACAAUGAAUGCACAUAAGAGAAAGAGAAACAAUUAAGCAAAAGAACUUCAACUUAUUUUUAGAAUGCUUCUUUCUUGGUAAGAUCUCUUAAGAAACCCUUCUUGAAAAUAGUUUUUUUUUUUUUGUUUUGUUUUUUAUGAUGGAAAAUUGUUUUCUACCUUAAAAACUAUAUUUGGUAAAAUUUCACUAAAAUAAUUUUUUGAAAAUAGGUUUUUUUUUUGGAACAAACGCUUUUAAAUAUAUAUAUAUAUAUAUAUAUAUAUAUAUAUAUAUAUAUAUAUAUAUAUAUAUAUAUAUAUAUAUAUAUAUAUAUAUAUAUAUAUAUAUAUAUAUAUUGUAGAAUAUUUCAAGAAAUAGUUGAAAAUAUGAAAAAUGUUUCAAGAACCUUUGUAUCUUAGAUUUGUGCACUUCAGUUUCAUGAAUAAUAUUAAACUAAGAAAACUGUUAUUUAUAUAUUAAUUUCUAAAUAAAAUUUUGUUGCUGGAAAUAAUUAAAAUUUAUUUUAAAAAACUAUUUUCAAGAAUUAUUUUUGAAAACGUUGCUAAAAAGACAAAAGUCCUUGGUCAUUUUUUUUUCUUUUAUAUUUUUAUCUUUAUCUAAGAGGCCGGUCUUUUUUUUUUUUUAAUGUUCCAUAAUCCUUGUGAAAUUGUAACGUGUAAUUCAUUUAUUUGACUUCAAAAGUUAAGAAAUAAUGAACCUUUCAUUAUUGUAGUUUGUCUUGUAGUAAGAGACUUAAAAAUCCACGUACAAGAUGUCUUUCUUUCUUAAGUCAAGUCAACAAAAUGGAGGUGGAAGAAAUAAUGAACUUUCAUUAUUGUAGUUUGUCUUGCUAAAAGCUAUGUAUAACGGGUCUUCGUAAGUCAAAUCAAUAAUCAAAUUAAAAGAAAUAAUAAACUUCCAUUAUUCUAUUUUAGAGACUUAAAAAGCCAUAUAUAACGGGUCUUCUUUUCUUAAGUCAAGUCAAUAAAAUAAAAGUAGAAGAAAUAAUGAACUUUCAUUAUUGUAGUUUGUCUUGCUAAAAGCCAUGUAUAACGGGUCUUCGUAAGUCAAAUCAAUAAAUCAAAUUAAAAGAAAUAAUAAACUUUCAUUAUUGUAUUUUAUCUUGUAGCGAGAGACUUAAAAAGCCAUGUAUAACGGGUCAUCUUUUCUUAAGUCAAGUUAAUAAAUCAAAUUAAAAGAAAUAAUAAACUUUUAUUAUUGUAUUUUAUAUUGUAGCAAGAAACUUAAAAAGCCAUGUAUAAUGGGUCUUCUUUUCUUAAGUCAAGUCAAUAAAUCAAAUUAAAAGAAAUAAUAAACUUUUAUUAUUGUAUUUUAUCUUGUAGCGAGAGACUUAAAAAGCCAUAUAUAACGGGUCAUCUUUUCUUAAGUCAAGUCAAUAAAUCAAAUUAAAAGAAAUAAUAAACUUUUAUUAUUAUAUUUUAUAUUGUAGCAAGAGACUUAAAAAACCAUGUAUAAUGGGUCAUCUUUUCUUAAGUCAAGUCAAUAAAUCAAAUUAAAAGAAAUAAUAAAUUUUUAUUAUUGUAUUUUAUAUUGUAGCAAGAGACUUAAAAAGUCAUGUAUAAUGGGUCUUCUUUUCUUAAGUCAAGUCAAUAAAUCAAAUUAAAAGAAAUAAUGAACUUUUAUUAUUGUAUUUUAUAUUGUAGCAAGAGACUUAAAAAACCAUAUAUAACGGGUCUUCUUUUCUUAAGUCAAGUCAAUAAAUCGAAUUGGAAGUUUUUCCUUUUUUUUUUUUUUUAAACCAACUUCUACUAUUACUUUUAUUAGUUAUUUUGAUCAUUUGAUUAAAUAUUGAAUUAUUAUUAUUUUUUUAAAAUUUUCAAGUACAAACCAUUUCAUGUUAAAAAAUUUAAAGUGGAUCUAACUUUCUUUACAAGUUAAGAUAUCUUGAUUAAAGGAUAAAUAAUGGAUUGUAAUAUUUCAACUUUAAUUAAGUUAAUUUAUCAAUAUUCAAACUAAGUUGGAGAAAAAAAAAAGACAACACCUCAAUUUUAGUUUUCCAUUACACAUGGUUAUUUCUUUUUCUUCUUUUUCUUUUGCUUAUUUGACACACAAUGGCAGCUCUAGUCAUCAUACCUUUCAAGACUCUAAACUCACACAAAUUUUCAAUCUUUUCAUCAUAUCUUUUAAAAUUCUUGUCACUCAUAAAGUAUUUAAGACUUAAUUUUAAUAAAUUCAUAUUUUUAUAACUAUAACUAAGAGCUUUGACCUAUUAAAAAAUGAAUCAAAAAUCGUUUGCAAGACAUUAAAAUUUCAUAAUUAUUUCUUUUACCUUAAAUGUAGUUGUUAUGUGUUUGCUAGUUCACAUAUUUGCAAUAUACCCUAGGAUGGUUGAGCUAUGUAACAUGCUUCUCGGAAUCAAUUCAUUCGGUUUUUUUUUUUUCCUUUUCCCUUUUGGUUCUACUCAUUUUAAUGUAAAGAAGAACCAAAACAUAUUCACUAGUUGAUUUUACCCUUGGUUGCACAACUAACCAUAUGGAGUCUAGACUUGAAAAUUUUAUGCAUUUUGGGUCUAACAAGUUAUGAUACUUAGACCUAGCAUUACAUGUGAAAGAAAACAAAAAAGUAAUAAUAAAAAUAUAAUUCUCAUUGGAAAAUUAAAAUUGUUAUGAAAUAUUUUAUUUUCUCAUAUGUUGUUUAGAUAUUGAUGGAUUGACUUGUUAAUUAAAGUUGAAAUAUUCUAAUAUUUUUCUGUCAUCAAGGUGUCUUAUGUGGUGACUCAAAAAUAGUAUUAAUAAAUGAUAAAAGAGAUUGUUGCUAAUCUUCAAAAUUAUAAAAAGUUUAUACACUUUGCUAGUCUUCAAAAUUAUAAAGCGUUUAUACUUUAAAAAAACAAAAUAAAUAAACAUUAGUCUAUAUUGAAUGUGUUAAUAUGAAGUACAUUGUAGCUAUAAUUUUUUAAAGGAUUAAAGAAAAAAACCAUUCAAUAUUUUGCUAGGUAUAAAAAAUCUUAUUUAUUACAAAUUAUUUUGUAGAUGAUGAAUCAUUGAUGAAGAUAGGCUAAGGAAUUUAUAAAAGGUAAAAAGUAAUUAUUCAUAUAAAUGAAAAGUGAAGGUUAUAUUUGUUAAGUAUCUUUAAAAGGGGAUUUCAAAACAUUACUUUCUCUAAUAAUAAUAAUGUAAACUCAAAAUAUAUGUAAAUGAAAAUAAAAAAUAGUAUUUUUAUAAACUUAAAAAUAAUAUAUUUGUUUUUUUAAAUAUUUUUAGUCAUAAUUAAAGGUCAUCAUAUCUGUCAAAAAUUUAUCUUUAUAUUAUUUAUUUUAAAAAUGAUUAUUCAUUAAGAAUCAUUUUGAUAAAAGGUAAAAAAUAAUUACCAUAUAAAUUAAAAGUGGAGGUUAUAUUUGUUAAUUAUUUAUAAAAGGGGAUUUCAAAACAUUACCUUCUCCAAAAAUAACAAUAAUAAUAAUAUAAACACAAUAUUGACUCAAAAUAUUAUGUAAAUGAAAAACUUAAAAAUAAUAUAUAUUUGUUUUUUUUUUUUUAAUAUUUUUAGUCAUAAUUAAACUUCAUCUACUCAUCACGUUUGUGGGAAUGGUAUAUAAGUCAAUGCCUGCUUUGCUCAGAAAUCAAAAACCAAAACUUGUUAAUCCUUGUUAUUACACACUAUCCUUGCUCUGUGUUGAACAUGGGUACAAGCCCCUUUCGAUAUUUUAUUUCCUUUUUUCUGCUUAUGCUAUGUUUUGAAGCCUGUUUGAGGGUGGGUGAUGCUAAAGUUGGGUGCAGAGAGAGGGAAAGGCAAGCACUCCUUCACUUCAAACAAGGUGUUGUGGAUGAUUUUGGAAUGCUUUCUUCUUGGGGGAAUGGGGAAGACAAAAGAGAUUGUUGCAAAUGGAGAGGAGUCGAGUGUGACAACCAGACGGGUCAUGUGAUCGUGCUUGAUCCUCAUGCUCCGUUUGAUGGAUAUUUGGGAGGUAAGAUUGGUCCUUCAUUGGCAGAGUUGCAGCACUUGAAGCAUUUGAACCUCAGCUGGAAUGAUUUUGAAGGUAAUUAUAUACAUAUAUACCUUGUGAAAAUUCAUCAAUUUGUCUCAGCAGAAUAUAAUUCUCUAUUUUUCCAAUUUUACAGGAAUUCUUCCCACUCAACUCGGAAAUCUUUCCAACUUGCAAUCCCUUGAUCUCGGCCAUAGUUUUGGGUUUAUGACCUGUGGAAACCUUGAGUGGCUUUCUCACCUUCCUUUGUUAACACACCUUGACUUGAGUGGGGUUCAUCUUAGUAAAGCAAUCCAUUGGCCACAAGCAAUUAAUAAAAUGCCUUCCCUAACUGAGUUGUACUUGAGUUAUACUCAGCUUCCUCCGAUUAUUCCAACAAUAUCCAUUUCCCAUAUUAAUUCCUCCACUUCUCUUGCUGUGCUUGAUCUCUCCGUGAAUGGUCUCACUUCUUCAAUAUACCCAUGGUUGUUCAACUUCAGUAGCAGCCUUGUUCAUCUUGACCUCUCUAUGAAUGAUCUAAAUGGUUCAAUUCCGGAUGCUUUUGGAAACAUGACUACUCUGGCAUAUCUUGGUCUCUAUGGGAACGAGCUACGUGGUUCAAUUCCGGAUGCUUUUGGAAACAUGACUAGUCUGGCAUAUCUUUAUCUCUCUUCAAAUCAGCUUGAAGGUGAGAUUCCGAAAUCCUUGAGAGAUUUAUGUAAUUUACAGAUACUAUACUUGUCUCAGAACAAUCUCACUGGACUGUUGGAAAAAGAUUUUCUGGCCUGCUCUAAUAACACAUUAGAGGUUUUAGAUUUAUCUCAUAAUCAAUUCAAAGGGUCAUUUCCCUGGCUUUCAGGAUUUUCACAGUUGAGAGAAUUAUAUCUUGAAUUCAAUCACCUAAAUGGAACUUUACCUGAAAGUAUUGGACAACUGGCUCAACUUGAAGUGUUGUCCAUUCGUUCAAAUUCAUUGCGAGGCACUGUCUUGGCAAACUACCUUUUUGGUCUCUCCAACCUGUCUGUCUUAGACUUAUCUUUCAACUCCCUUACAUUCAACAUAAGCCCUGAGCAAGUUCCCCAGUUUCAAGCCUCUCGUAUAAUGUUGGCCUCUUGCAAAUUAGGACCACAUUUUCCUAAUUGGCUUCAAACUCAAAAAUAUUUGUUGGACCUUGAUAUCUCUGCUUCUGGAAUUUCUGAUGUCAUUCCCAGUUGGUUUUGGAAUUUAAAUUCAGGUUUAGCAUGGUUAAACAUUUCCAACAAUCACAUCUCAGGCACUUUGCCAAAUUUACAAGGAAUAUUUUAUUUGGGAAUGUGGGAUAUGAGUUCAAAUUGCUUGGAAGGUUCAAUACCACAAUUUCUUUUCAAUAAUGAAUGGUUGUAUCUCUCCAAGAACAUGUUUUCAGGCUCAAUUUCUUUAUCUUGCCGGAUUGCUAAUCUGUCUGGUUCGGGUUUGUCCCAUCUUGAUCUCUCAAAUAAUCGACUGUCAGGAGAACUACCCAAAUGUUGGGAGCAGUGGAAACAUCUAAUUGUUCUUAAUUUGGCAAAUAAUAAUUUUUCUGGGAAAAUUAAAAAUUCAAUUGGCUUGUUAUAUCGGAUUCAAACAUUGCAUUUACGCAACAAUAGUUUAACCGGAGCAUUGCCUUUGUCCUUAAAGAACUGCAAAGAUUUGUGUCUUGUAGAUUUUGGAAGAAAUAAAUUAUCAGGCAAAAUACCUGCAUGGAUGGGAAGAAGCCUAUCAAGUUUGAUUGUUCUCAACCUAAGAUCCAAUGAAUUUAAUGGAGGCAUACCUUUAAAUCUAUGUCAAUUGAAAAAUAUUCAAAUGUUGGACCUCUCAAACAACAAUCUAUCUGGUACUAUACCAAAAUGUCUCAACAAUUUAAGUGCCUUAACUCAAAAAGGGAGUUUGGUCAUUUCUUAUUAUGAAGGAGAGUUGAAUGGUUGGAAGCUCUCCUAUCUUGAUAAUACAUUGGUUCAAUGGAAAGGAAAAGAACUAGAGUACACUAAAACUCUUGGACUUGUGAAGAGCAUUGAUUUUUCGAAUAACAAGUUAAUAGGAGAAAUUCCGUCAGAAGUAACUGAUUUGGUAGAAUUGGUGUCAUUGAACUUAUCAAGAAACGAUUUGAUUGGACCAAUCCCUGCAACCAUUGGUCAAUUGAAAUUAUUAGAUUCUCUUGAUCUAUCUCAAAACCAGCUUAAUGGUAGAAUUCCAGAUAGUCUUUCUCAAAUAGCUGGUCUAAGUGUUUUAGACCUAUCAAAUAACACCUUGUCAGGUAAAAUUCCAUUAGGCACUCAAUUACAGAGCUUUAAUACCUCCACAUACGAGGGAAAUCCUGAACUUUGUGGGCUACCUCUUUUGAAAAAGUGUCCAAAAGAUGAACCUGGGGAAGCCUCCUUCAUUGGUUUUAGUAGUAAAACAGAGGAUAUUCAAGAUGAUGCAAAUAAUAUAUGGUUUUAUGGAAAUAUCGUUCUUGGAUUCAUCGUCGGAUUUUGGGGAGUUUGUGGCACUUUACUACUCAAUAGUUCAUGGAGAUAUGCCUAUUUCAAGUUCUUGAACAAGAUAAAAGACCGAGUGUAUGUGACAACAACAAUAAAUAUGAAUAGACUAUGGAGGAGCUUCCAAAUUUAAAUGGUAAGAUUUCUCAAAUUCUCUCCUUAGUCUUUUUAAUAAAUUAUAUUACCUUAGUAGCCUCUUUCUAUUAUUGCUCAAAUCCCUAUUCUAUUAAUUAACUUACCUUCCACAACUUAUGGAGAUAAAAUAAGAUUUUUCAAAUAAAAAUAUCAUAUUUUAUUUGAUUAGAUGUGAAAUUCAACUAUAACUAAGGAAGCCUUGAAUAUUUUGAUAUACCAAAUAUAACAACACCACAUUUUUAGUUCUCAUUGUACAUAUAGAUAAAUGUUAUGGCUUGAGAAUCAUAGUUGAAAAAUUAUAAUUAUCACUAUUUUUUUCUCAUCUUGCUUUUACUUACAGUUGUACCUUUUGCUGAAGUUCAGUCAACUUGCUUUAAGAAUAUUUGAGGUUUUAUUGUAAGAAGCAUACUACCAUACUUUCCUUUAUAUUAAUCAAGAAAAGUAAAUUUGCUUCUAUUGAAGACAUUUUUUUCAAAUUGAUGAAUAUUAUUUCAUUUGUUGUAUUGCAGAACUUCAAUUGGGUUGCAUCUCAAGGAUUAGUAGGUAAUAUAUGCUUGUGAGUAAUGAGUUUAUUUAGUAUUGGACAGCCUGAAUGUAAGAGCAUUUGUGUUUAUUGAACUCAUCAUCUUAUAAAUAACUUUGGCGUGUAUUAAGUUUGUUUAUUUGAUAAUAGGCGUGGCUUAAGUUUCUUAUGUUAUGCUCUAUUUAGAGCGAAUCAAAUAUAUUAGAGGAUGAUAUCAAGUCCUUUGUGGUGCAAUGCUAGAAACUACUUCGCUUUAAAAAAAACGUUUUCUUUUGCUCAAAAACCAGUAGCAACUAAAGCCAUAAUUUAAAAUGGGACAUGGUAAGACUAAGAACAGAAACUGAGCACUCUGUUUUUCUGGUGCCCAAGCAUGGAAGUUAUUAUAAUAAAAAGAAACAGCUGGUCAGAAUAAAACAAAAUUCAAAACAUGGUGUUUCUCACAAUGCAUAUUGAGGCUUCAUCCACUGAUAUUCCACAACAGAUUAACCGUCAAAAACCCUUAUGUUGAGUAGGAGAAAAGAAGCUCCAUACUUCUCAGGACAUACAGAACAACACCUUGGGUAGAGACCUUGACCAUGCUUGCAGAAAUGUGUUUUUGGAGCAGCAAUCCGAAGUAUAGGAGGCUUCAUAUUUGGGAACACUCCUCAUUCAAUGUAUCAUUGUGACUGAGAUGACUACAUAUUGAGGUUUGAUCAGUUCUAGGAAGGUGACUGGUUAUCAUAAAGCAUUUACCAACCAUUCUUGAAUACAUACUUAUGUGAUUUAGCAGGAUGGAACUGCAACUAGUCAUUAAUUAAGCAACAAAAAUGGCUGUGGUAAGAUUCUGAGACAUUGAUUGUAUAUUCCAUUGUUUUUUAUUUGAGGUUAAAUUCGGCUUUUGUUUUUUUUACUUUUUAAUUCUCUACUGCUUACAUGCCUCUUGUAUCUGAAGAGGCUAAUUGUUCAUGCGGUUGAAUUUUGCAACAUUUUCUUAUUGUUCGGGGCUUAAGCUUCUGUUCAUUUUUUCAUUAUUAUGUUUUUGUGCUUUGUUUUUUAUGACUAAUCCCAUGCCACAUAGUGAAGUGUUCACAGAGAAUGACUGGAAAUUUGUCCAGCUUGGGCUUGCUCUAUUUUAGAACAUUUUAGCCAUUCAAGACAUCUCGUUGCAGUAGAAGGCUGGGAGUCUGCACGCCACUCAAUUUUUAUCUCUGAGUAACCAAUUUUUGGUGCUGUUAUUCUUCAUUGAUUUAGAAGAUGAGCUGUUAUUUUUGGGGAUAUCUGUGUUAUAAUACACAAUAGUAUGCAUUGGGAUAUGCUACUACUGAAAACAGAACAAUCUGUUUUUGUGGCGUCCAAGCAUAAAAGCUAUUGUCACACAGCGAGGUCUGAUUUCCAACUGUGAAUCAAAUUGCUCGAGGUACUUCAUAUGCAGAUCGCUGCAAGUGGCUUUGGCCAUCAAUCUCCUUCAGGGGAUGAUAAUAUUGAGAUUGCAGUGAAGGUUUGGGUGUUUGUCACAAUGCCUGUUGAAGCGUCAUCAGAUGAUAUUUAGUCAUCAGAUGAUAUUUAAUGACAGAUAGGGUAUCUGUGGGGUUGAAAUCUCAUUACAUGCGGCAACACAGUUCUUGAUAUUUAAUGACAGAACGGUAAGCGAACUUUAUAUGUAGUUUUUUCCCUUCUCAUGGGUUCAUUUGUAAGUGUCCCAAUUUUCAAACAGAUGAAUAAUGGAUGGUGAAAGUGUCCUACACAUCAUAGAACAAAGAACAAGGAACAAGGAUCAGGAGUUCCCUUUACCUCUUGGGAUCUGUGUUGACACAUCCAUCUCAAAUUUCACUACUUGCAUUUUCUUUUGGGAAGUUUUUAUUGAGGACAGAAUAAUAAAUUAGCAUAUAGCUCUGUGAUAUCUGUCUAACCAUGCUGGCUUUUCCAUUUUGCAGAUUUGCAUGCUAGAUUUAGUGCUUAAACUAUCACUGGAAGAUUCUAAAGAGCCUCAAACAGCCCACAUCCUUCUUUAAAAGUUAGAUUUAUGAUCAGACUGAUCAAGGGUUGACUCAUUUUCUCUUGAAUCUGAUCAAAUCCUUCGACUCUCAUACUAACCCAAAAGGUUUCCCCUUUCAUUUCAACAACUUAGAAGUUCAUUGUUGAUGAUGAUGUUGCUGUUAUAUUCAUUAUUAUUACAACUAAUUUGAUAAGCAAUUAUUGUUAUUAUUUUUCUUUAUCUUAUAACACAAUCAUAUGAUAAAUGGAAUAUAAUGUCAUGACUGCAUUGAAAUUCUUGACCAAACAGAAAAAUGGGAAAUUUUGCUGUCUAUUUUAAAGCAUUGUAAUCAAUAUAGGGUAUCAUGAUGAUGAAUCAAGUCAACCUUGCCCCUACACUUUUGUGGUUGUGAAUGCAUUGAAAGAAAGUAAUAAUUCAGUCUGUGAAUCAAACAGGCCAUUAGUUCUUCGAAAGACUGAUACUCGAGAUGAAUGGGAAUUUGAGGCUGUAAGGCUGGGACGAUGAUGUAAACGGCACUCGCCAAUGGGUUCCUGAAUGGUCUGCAGUUUCUAAUCCAUGUGAUAUUGCUGGGGCUUGCCCUGUGUAGCUUGGACUGAAGCAAAACUAAUGCCUCCAGCAUGUACAUGCCUGCUGGGGGCUUCUAAUGUGGGAGACGGCGGCCAGUGCUCAGAGAAUUCUUCGGUGUCAACCGCGAGAUGUGAUAAUAAUCAUCGGAAUUCGACUGCUUCCAAGCUGAAGAUGUCGAUAGUGCAGCAAACUAAGUACUAUUAUCUCAUUUUUCCGAUUAUAGCAAAUUACAGUAACAUCUCGCCAUUAUCACAGUGCGGUGAUGCUUGUUUAUCAGACUGUGAUUGUGCUGCUUCCGUGUUGGCUGCUAAACAACUUGGAGUUUGGUGGAUUCGAGGACACGAGUUCGACCUUGUUUGUGAAGGUUGGGCCUAAGGGAUCACCUGGAGGCAACGCAACAGGAUUUGGGGAUUCAUCUGAUGGCCUCUGAGACAAGGUCUUAGUUCUUCCAAUUGUUCUCAGCAUGACUGUCCUUGUAGGACGACUCUGCUUCUUGUUAUACCACAGUGUGUACAGGAGGAGGGCCUUGAAGAGAGCCCUGGAAAGCCCCUUGAUUGUGUCCGGCGCUCCAAUAAAUUUCAGUUACUGUGAUUUGCAGUGCAGAACCGGCAAUUUGCACAGGUCAGCAUGUACAUAUACAUAUAUAGACUUUGAAAAGGAUGAAAUUGCUUGAACAAAGCCAAUUAGACUUGAUCAAUGAGGAUUAAUGUUGUCUUCUUUUUUUUUUUUUUUUUCAUGAGAGUUUGGGAGUGUAUACAAGAUGGGACAUUGGUUGCAGUGAAGAAGCUUGACAAGCCUCUUGGGAAGAAGGAAUUCAUAACUGAAGUGAAAACUAUUGGCUCUAUGCAUCACAUGAACCUGGUUCAACUCUGCGGCUACUGCUCAGAAGGCUCUCACCAGUAUGCAUUUCAUUUCAUUGCCUAAUACCAAUUACCACUAACCAUAUUUAAAUUCUUAUCAUCCUCUUUGGGGGUCAAGCAUACUAUAUCUUCGAGCUUGUAAUGGGGUUGGAAUUUGAUGAUUCUUCACAGGCUUCUGGUUUAUGAGUUCAUGAAAAACGGUUUCUUGGACAAGUGGAUAUUUCCCUCAAAGCAUUGUCGGGACAGACUGCUAGAUUGGGGAACUCGCUUCCAUAUAGCCAUUGCUACUGCACAAGGUAUUGCUUAUUUUCAUGAGCAGUGCAGGAACCGGAUCAUCCACUGUGAUAUCAAGCCCGAAAACAUACUUCUAGAUGAGAAUUUCUAUCCAAAAGUUUCAGACUUUGGACUAGCAAAGCUGAUGGGCAGAGAGCAUUGACAUGUAAUCACUAUGGUGAGAAGAACUAGUGGUUAUUUGGCUCCAGAAUGGGUGAGCAACCGACUUGUUACUGUAAAAGCCGAUGUCUACAGUACAGAUAGCUUCUUUUGGAGAUCGUUGGUGGCUGGAGAAACCUUGACAUGACUUUUGAUGAAGAAGACUUCUUCAAUCCUGGGUGGGCUUUUAAGGUAUAGAUCAGUCAAGUUCUUGCUUUUGUAAAUCACAAAUUGUUAAGUGUUUGAUAUUUUAUUAACAAAAAUGUCAAUUCCUCUAGGAAAUGAGUAAUGGGACGACGAGAAAAGUUGCAGACAGGCGAUCGACUGGAAGGGGCAAUGGAGGAAGAAGAGCUGGAAGAGCAUUGAAAACCGGCUUUUGGUGCAUUCAAGAUGAGGCUUUCAUGAGGCCUUCAACGGGGGAAGUGGUGAAGAUGUUGGAAGGAUCACUUGAAAUCAACACACCGCCAAUGCCACAGACAGUGCUGUAGCCCAUGGACGAAGGCCUAGACAAUGUAUACAGAGCCAUGAAGAGAGAGUUCAACCAGUCCAGCUUCAUCACCAUCAAUAGUACCCAUCCUUCAUCAAGGGCUACAUGUAGUUAUUCCACAAUGUCACCAAGAUAGCAAAGGAGAAAUGGAACAAAUUUUGUUGCUGUCCAAGAAUUUUAUCCCCAUGAUACUUUGAUACUGUCCAGAAACAUAGUAUUUAUUGACCAUUUGUUAAACUAGUAGAGAACUUUGCAUAAUGUUGUUGCUAAGAUUUCAAAUGGUAAAAGAAAUUAUAUUAAUUGCGAAACAAAAACAUAAACAAUUAGGUUGAGGUACGGAAAUCUCGUUCUUUUAAAGGAGAUUUAAGCCAUUUCUAGUUUGACAAUUUCAGAAAUCGGUAUACUUGACUUCUCUUUGGUUUGUCCCCUCAAGGAUACAAUGGUCCAAGUGAUUUGUUGCAUAGCUCACGUCAAUAUGCAUAAAGCAUAGAACUCAAAGCUAGCGGUUCACAAACAAACCUAUUUUUUUUGGCCAAGAGAAAAUAAAUAAAUAAAAAGGAAGAAGGCAGAAGAUGACUAAAAAAAUGUGUUAAAGUUAUAUGACAUUAGGAGGGUGAGUCAAGGCUAAUCAUAAAGUUUGAAAUGUUCAACAAUUUCAAAAUAAUUCAAUCUCGAUAAAUCCCAUUAACAUAAAUGAUAUUUAAUAUUUUUUAAUUUCCAUAAUUUUACAUUUGUAACUACAAAUUUAAUAACCCAUUAUGCCAACUUUAAUCCCUAUAACUUUCAUAUAUAACCACAACGUUAGUAACUAGUUUCUUUAAUCCCAAAUCUCCAUUUUUUUGAACUUUUAAAAACUUUUUUGGACCUCAUAUGACUUAGAUAUUGAUUUGAUAGGUUAAUUAUGCUUAGGGGGUGUUCAAUUGAUGCUUGAAAAAAAUCAAAAUAAAAAAAGACUAAGAAAUGAGUAAGGAUACAAAGCAUGUCAAAAUAUGAUAUCCCACAUCGGAUAUGGAAGAAAGUUCUUGACACUAUAUAUGUAGAGACUCCUCUUAAUUAUGUAAACGUGUCUUAAAACCAUGAGGGUCCCUUUGGGUUUAAAGCGAACAAUAUCUAUACUACGAAAAAUGUGAUGAAUUCUCGCAUUCUUCAUACCCUCCUCCACUUCUUUGAACUUUAAAAAAAAAAAUUGAACAUCAUAUGAUUUUGAUAUUGAUUAAAUAGGUUAAUUACACUUGGUGGGUAUGAGAUUAAUGCCCGAAAGAAUUGAAAUCGAAAAUUUAAAAAAAAUUUUGAGGAUUCCUCACACUCUUCAUACCUUAUCAAAUUUCCACUUCUUUCAAUUUUUGAAAUCUUUUUUGAAUGUCAUAUGGAUUGAAUAUUGAUUAAAUAAGUUAAUUUAGAAGGUGUGAAAUUGAUGUCUGAAAAAAUCAAAAUCCAAAAAUAUUAAAAAAUUAGCAAAGAGUGUGGAAUUCCUUAUUGCUACUAAUUAUAUUAUUAUUAUUAUUUUGUAUUUUCAAUACUUCAACCAAUAUUUGAUGUGAUUAAAUUUAAAAUGUAAGAAAGAAUUUAUUAAUACAAUUUUCAAUUAAUAAUUAGUACACAACUAUCUUAAUUUUUAAACAUUGUAUACUUAUUUAAAUUUAUUUUCAUAUUUUUAUAAAAGUGUAAUUACACUUACAAUUUAUUGAAAUUUUUGUAAAGCUCCUGAGACGUAAAGGUUAUAUCACGAUACUGAAUUCUGCUAUGCUCGCCUUUCAAGCUCUGAUGCUCCACGCCUGCAGCUCCGUUCUUUGCAACUGAAAUACACCAUUAGCUAUGUCCGCCUGUGAUUAAUGCUCUUGCCA
RNAcentral lists this long non-coding RNA (55393 nucleotides) under Vitis vinifera (wine grape). RNAcentral's name for it is "long non-coding RNA (VVIN_LNC005534)". Lineage: Eukaryota; Viridiplantae; Streptophyta; Magnoliopsida; Vitales; Vitaceae. The record is from RNAcentral.